AUUUGGGGCCAUGGCCCCCAAUCCUGCCCCUUGUGUUGGCCUUGAUGGCACUCCUGCUCCUUGGAGUGGCCUCAGAGGCACCGUUGAAGUAGGAUCAGUAGGGGAUGAAUUCGGCAUAGCUGGGGUAGGCGCAGGGGAAGAAGUUGGCAGAGACGGAGAGAGGGAAGAAGCUAGAGGGGCCGGCAGCACAGAGAAGGAAUUUGGCGGCGGCGGCAGAGACAGAGAGAGGGAAGAAGUUGGAGGAGCCGUCAACGUAGAGAAGGAAUUUGGCGGCGGCACAGACAAUGGAGAAGCUGCAGGGGCCGACGGCGAAGGGGAUAACGUUGUCUUCAUUCCAAGGCGGCUGCCACCGUGCCCUUUCCCUCCUUUGCCGCGUGACCUGGAGAUCUGAUGGCCGGCAUCCAUGGCGGAGGUCUUCGCGCGUGCCAGGAGCUCCAGACUCGUCUAUUUGUGGAAUAGGGUUUGGUGCAUAGGGCAAAUGGAGAAGAUGGCACACACGAUGAAGGAGAAAGAAGAAAGCGCGGGAGGAAUUGGCACACGCCGCCUGGUCGCUUGGAGCACGGAAUCGAUGGGGAUAGCUCGCUCGUUUCGUGCUGUCGUGCGGUUACCAAGGACUUGGUAACUAAGCUCGCUCGUCUCGUGGCCACGACACAACCUCCUUCUCUCUCUUGGUUGUUUCAUGCAAAGAUUCUAUUUUUCUACUGAUGUGGGCCUUGUUUAGUUUCAAAAGAAUUUGUAAAAAAAUUUAGACUUCCAGUCAUAUCGAAUCUUACGGCAUAUACAUGGAGCAUUAAAUAUAGAUACAUGAAAUAACUAAUUAUAUAGUUUAUCUGUAAUUUGUGAGAUGAAUCUUUUAAGCCUAUUUAGUUUAUAAUUGGACAAUAUUUGUUAAAUAUAAAUGAAAGUGUUACCGUGUCUAUUUUGUUAAAUUUUUUAAAACUAAACAAGGCCUAAAUGUGUAUGAUAUCCGAUCAAAUUUUCAUCUAGACUCGUCUGACACGGGAAGCUCGGGCGGCGCAGCGUGUAGGGUCGCUAGGCUGCGUCGGAUGCGGGAUUGGACCGUGCGUGCGCCAGGACAACGCCACGGCCGGCUCUAGUGGCAAAUCGUUAUCUGUUUCCUCGUCUUCUCCAUUUCAUCCCAGCCACCACUUCCCGCCAUGCCGCCACCGCCGCCGCAGGGUCCAGCUCCCUCCCACGCUGGCCGCGCCAACCUCUUCUCCGCCCCGCCGCCUGCCCUCUCCAACCGCCGCUACCCCAGUCAGCGGUCCCUGCCCCUCCCGCCCGUCCCCCCUCGCCGCCGCGACCCCAAGAACCACCGCCCGCAGCCUUCCCAAGAGGAAGAACGACCGACAGACAGCGGUCCAAGGAGAACGGCUGCCACCAACCCGGCCUUCCGCGCGUCCCACCUCCGUACCGCGUACCGCAAGCCCGUGCCCCCAGCCGCAGCCGCCGGCGAAGGCGAGGCCCUCCUCGCCGCCGACCCAACCGACGCCGCCUCGGGGCGCGCCGUCGUCGUGGGUCCCUCGGGCCUCUCCUUCCGCCUCCCCGGCGCGCCGUUCGACUUCCAGUUCAGCUACUCCGAGGGGCCCCGAGCCCCGCCGCUCGCCAUCCGGGAGCCGGCCUUCGUGCCCUUCGCGCCGCCGACCAUGCCGCGGCCCUGGACGGGCAAGGCGCCGCUGCUGACUAAGGAGGAGAAGGCGCGCCGCCGGGGCGUGCGGCUGCACACGCCGCUCGGGCAGGAGCCGCCGCAAACGGUGAGCGCGCACGGGAUCAUGAUGGAGGUCAGGGACAGGAGGCAAAUGGACCUGGCCAGGGUCAGCCCCGGUGAUGGCAGAAGCAGGGAGGAGGUGCUCGGUGAGCCGCUCACCCCAUCUGAGGUGCGCGCGCUCGUCAAGCCGCACAUUUCACACAACCGGCAGCUCAACAUUGGUAACAACUGCACUGCCAUUUUCAAGAGAGAAUCUGAUUAUUUUUCCUGCCUUUAUAUUCGUUCAGACUUAGAUUAAACUCAAAUGGGCCAAUGUGGAGAGCAUAAUGAGAUAAUUUAGUGGCAUGAGAACAAACACAUCUGGAGUUAAGUUUGAUGAAAGGUUUUUUUCGGUUGCACUGUAAGGUUAAAAAUAUGGAUUGUAGCACAACCAUGGUAUCUGCCUACAAAUUCAGUCAAUUGUUACUUUGUUAGGAAACUCUGAAACGAUAUAGCAAUGUUUUUCAUACAUGAAACGGGAACAUGUCAAUUGUGUCCCUUCAACUCUUCUCAGGGUUUUAUUGUGGGCCAAUUGCAUACCUCUUUGUACCAUUUUUAUGAACUUGCCAUUUGAGAAGUCAUAAUUGCAUAGUUGCCACCAAAAGCGCUGGUCAUCAAACCCACCACUUGAUUAUCAAACUAAAGAAAUGUCAUCAUCAGACAAUUCCCCCAUUUUUCUCUCUCCUCCCUUCCCCAUCAGCACACUGAUGGCAUCACGUCAUGGUGUUCCAUUUCUUCAGUCCAAGAAUCCUCCUUAUCACUCCAUCUCCAUGGUUACCAUUGCAACUUCUGGACAUAGGGUUGGACGGGCAGGUAGCCAGGAGCUGAGGGCACCAGCUAGGGGGACUUGUGCCAGAUUAGGUUAGCUCUUGCUCGUCAGCAGUGGAGGGCCGAGGAGUUUGGGCAUUGGGUGGCCUCCCCAUCCUCCUAGCUCGCCUCCCCAUCCUCUCCAUCCUCCUUGCUGAUCUUCUAUUCGUUCUCAAGUCACUGUCCACCAUGCAAGCUCAUCAGCACCUCCUCACCGAGUCACCAUCUCCUGCUCCUCCUUCUUCCAAUCCUCCACGGUGUCAUGAUGGCUGCAGUGCUGUAGAUGCAAGCAGCAGCAUUGGAGGUGCUCGCACCAGAGGUGGGCCGUGGGGACACUGGGAUGGGGAGGAGGGGUCAGCACCACGUAAGAGAAAGGGGGCUGCAAUCGCGAAAGAAAGGAAGCAUCAGAAAGUAUAUGCCCAGGGUUAAUUUGGUAAUUCCAGAUAUGAUUUUCUGUACGUAUUUUCUGAAAUGUUUUUGCACCUAUUGGAUAACAUUAUCUAACAGAAGUUAAACUAGUGACUCUGGAGGGGAUUCCAGUGGUAGUUUUCCAGUAGAUGUUUUUUUAAUGGCAAAUAUCAAAUAGGAGUCAAAUCAGUAGCAAAUAUGCAUUUUGUCCUUUUAAUUAUUGUCACUCCUCUGCAGCUGGCACACCUGCUAUCAGCAGUGUUUUGAUUUGCUGGUCCCGAGAAAGAACACCACUGUGUUCAAGCAGGAGGUUGCCAGCAAUAAAGGCAGUGAGAGUUGUUUUAGCUCGUCUGGAUCCAACUUGCGGGCCAAACUUGGUAGGGAGGGAUGGGUCCUCACUCCUGACUGGUGUUCAGAGUUGGAGUUGUAUGGCCCUGUAUUGCAGAGAGUCGAGGGACAAAGUUAAAUCUUCUUUUCUUUUUGUCGCAAAGCUAAAUCUUAUUACUGAUGGAGUUUAGAGUUAAAUAUCAAUUUCCUGAACAAUUUCCUGUAGGAAGAGAUGGCUUGACUCACAACAUGUUGGAAAUGAUACAUUGUCAUUGGAGGCGCCAGGAAAUCUGCAAAGUUAGAUGCCGAGGCGUUCCAACUGUUGAUAUGAAGAAUCUCUGUUAUCAUCUUGAGGUAUCUAUAUUUAGUUUGCUACUGUAUAUAAAUUUGCAUUGUACACAUUCACAUGUGUUAAUAUAUCCCCCAGGCAUAUGGACAUGCAUUCUGUAGUACAAAGCAAAAGAUUUCCAUUGAAUCUAUUUUUCUAAAAUUUGUAUCUUUCUACUGUACUACAAAAUGUGGCAUCCAGUAUACAAAAGUGCCUUUUUUCAAAAAGAAAAUAUUUCAAAAUAGUGAGAUCAUGUUCCUUUUUGUUUCUGUUUUGAAUUGCACGAUAACUCAAAUGACACUCAAUUAUAAGAUGUUUUAGUUUUCUAAAUACAUUGCUUUUACUAUGUAUCUAGACAUAGUGUAUAUCUAAGUACAUAGCAAAACCUAUGUAACUAGAGAAGUCAAAACGUCUUGUGAUUUGGAAUGGAGGGAGUACUUUCAUAAGAGUUGUUUGAAACUUUUAGGAUCAUAGAAAGGAGCAAAAGUUGGGCUUGCUAAUAUUUUGCCUCUUGUUUAUAGAACACCAUAUAUUAUUCUUUUCCUUUAGUGUGAGGAUUUAAGAAAAUAGGGCAAUAGUAUGAAUACCAAAUCUUGAAAACAACAGUGUACUAAUGAACUAAUAAUAUUUUAAUCAGACCAGUGUAUGAGUUAAGGACUAUGAAGAGCUUCUCUAUUGUUAGGGAUGUGUACUUGUUGGCCUCUCAUGGAACAAGACCUCAAUCGUCAUGUAUGUAUGCUUAUGUGUUUUUGACUUUAUUAUAAUGCAUUGUCAAAUAUAAUAACAUCUAUUAUGUUCCAGGAAAAGUCAGGUGGAAAAGUCAUUCACCGAGUAGGUGGCGUUGUUUUUGUGUAUAGAGGAAGACAUUAUGAUCCGAAGACCCGUCCUCACUAUCCACUAAUGCUCUGGAAACCUGCGACUCCUGUGUAUCCAAAACUCAUCAAAGAAGUUCCAGAAGGGCUUACAAAAGAAGAAGCAGAUGAAAUGAGAAGGAAAGGGCGUGAUCUUCUGCCAAUCUGUAAAUUAGGUAUUAAGUUACUGAUCAACUUUAUUCCUAUUCUUAUUGAUUCCUCGCAAAAAAAAAAAAAAAAAAAAAAAAAAAAAACUUUUUUCUUAUUGAUGAUUGCUCUAGUAUGUUUGAAAUCUGGAUGGCCUUCUUAUUCGAUUUGUUUGUUUACAGGUUUCGUAUUUCUGGAAUUCGAAGCAGUAUAUGAAAUGACCUAUUUAGAGCAGGAACCUUAAUCCUGUUAUACACCAUGUACUAGAAUACUAGAUUACCUUUCAAGCCUAACCUAGUACUGUAAAUACAAACCUAAUUGUGAAGGAUAGGACUUUAACAGGGCCCCAGAUUUUAUAUUUUGUUGUAUAUAUGUUUACAAGAUUUUGUACCAUGUAUGUCAUGCACAUGUGGGAUGUGGCUGCUGGCUACUGGUUACCGCUAAGAUUUUUUUUUCUACCUGUCUCUAGUUCUACCGACCAAAAAUGCUAGUCCCUACUUUAGAAAUAGAUGACCCAGUUUGAACUGUUAAACUUCAGUAACUUUGAACGGUGAUUGGUUCGAUUGUUUAGAUUUUUCGUGUGAAAACAAUACCGUUAGAGAGGCAAUAAGUACUUAAAAAUAUAUAGCAUUUUUACUAUUUUGACUAAUGCAUGUUUGUUUCUACUAAAGGGCUGCUGCUGCAGCAGCUGUACACCUGUGCACCAGUGUGUGCAGCUGCAGCUUCAGUCAUUGCUGCUGAUCUGAACAGGCCCAUAGUGCUAAACUGAUUGUCAAAACUGCUCACUGGAAGGAUUGCAUGCUUUUUACUCUGUAUUUAAGGUACAGAGAACAACACAUGCUACUGAUGAUGUAUCUUAUCUUGUAUUUUUCUAAUUUUUUAGCCAAAAAUGGAAUAUACAUCACUCUUGUCAAGGAUGUGCGAGAUGCUUUUGAAGGAAAUGACCUUGUGAAGAUUGACUGUGAGGGUUUGAAUCCAAGUGACUACAAAAAGAUUGGAGCGAAACUAAGGGUUCUAUUCACCCUCAUGAAUUUCUCAGUUUUCAUUUCAUUACUUGUAGUGAAAGUGAAUCCUUUACAUACCUUCUUUCCAGCCCACUUAGCUAAAAUUGCUUACUUCUAUAUAUGCAGGAUCUUGUUCCCUGUGUUCUUUUAUCAUUUGAUGAUGAACAGAUAUUAAUGUACAGAGGCAAAGAAUGGAAAUCCAGAUACUCGAAGCCUCUUACUCUCAUUCCGAAAGUUCCAAAGAAUAAUCUGGCAAUGUCAUCUGACAUGAAUAGUUCAGGUAUGCUUUGUUAACUCUUAUAAUGAUUACCUUGGUCUUGCUUCUUUCAUAUCCAUGCUCAUUUUUAUUUAUAAUAGCAGUUUUGGUGAUUAGGUUUUUAUGAGCUCCUCAUUUUGUAAUCUCUUCCUGCACUCAUUUAUCAUAUUCAUGUGUUUUGCUCAAACAUACACUCAGAUGUGUUGCAUGGAAAAUAUAGCUGCUCUUUAGACCAGUGCCUCCAGUUAAUUUUAUAUUAUUGGUUGCACUUCCUGGAUCAAAAUAACAAGGCAACUUUUUUCCAGAUACAGAUGAAGUUAGUGAUGCCAACACUCAAGUUGCGAUAAGAGAAGUAUUGAGACCCAAAAUGUUUAAAUUAUGGAAGAGUGCAGUGGACUCAUCUCUAGCAUUGCUGCUGGAUGACGCUGAAGCAAAUGAUCUCACACCCGAUUCACUGCUGACUUUGGUUGAGGAGUUCAGCGUGACAUCUCAGGCAGUCGAGCACUCAUUCCCUGCUCUGCUUGUGACCAAUGGUGAGGUGAACACCGAAUCUCUAAGUGCAGAAUACAUAAAUGAUGAUGAGUCUGAAACAAGCAUUGCUGGAAACGAAGAGGGCCAGCUCGAGCAGUCACCUGAUCUCUCUGGCGAUGAACAUUUUGAGCUUGACAUGCUUGAGCGUCUGGAGUCAUCUGUGCCAUUGGGAUCGCUGCCGAUUGACGGCAUGAUAGAGCAGCUGAACAGUGAGUGAACUACGAUGAGCAGUUCAUUCUGUCCAUUGGGGUAACUACUGAUGAUCAGAUUGCAACCUCUGAUUGCAACCUCAGUCUGAUGAUGAUCUCAAUAGCUGAGAAUUUUCAGCGAUUUGGUAGCAAACAUGAUGUAAAGAAAAUAAUUGUAGCGGAUGGGCAUGUGGCCCAGUGGUGAAGGCUCCAAGAGAGGAGCCGGCCCGUGGGGGUUUGAUCCUCCGUCCCGCAUCUGCCCUCCUGUGAAGGGCGCACCAGGUGGUGCUUUCUAAAAAUAAUAAUAAUAUAAUUGUAGUAUAAAAAUGCACUAACUGAUCACACGUAUCAUUGUCACCAUCAAUGAGUGUGCUUGCAUGUAUAUGAAUAUUUUAAAUUUUUUAUACGUUGUUUACCAAAAAAAUAUAGUGGGUGAUUCUUCUGCAAAUUUUGAAUAUUUUUCAAAAUAAGGAAUCGAUUUAUGGUUCAGAAAAUUUUAGGGAAAACCCACCAAAGAGGAAUCAAGAAAGCUACCUUUUGAAAUAAAUGAAAGCAUCCUCUCUGAUCUCUAGUAGCCAGUUACACACCAUGGGACUAUGGGAAUCCUUGGAGUUGUAAAAAAUAAAAAAAAAUGAAUUCUGCAGAUGCUCUAACUUUGUUUUCCCCAAAAAGGGUGUAGAAGGCCUCAAUAUAUCUGAGGAUAUGGUGAAACAAAAAACGUAAACGAAAUAAAAUGUACUCCCUCCAUCUCAAAUUGUAAGUCAUUCCAAGAAUCUUGGAGAGUCAAAGUAUUUUCAUGUUUAAUCAAAAUUAUAGAGAAAAAUACUAAGAUUUGUAACAUAAAGUGAGUAUACUAUGAAAAUAUAAGGACUAUAUGCUAAACUUUUACCUACCUCUUGCCCUCAUUUGUCUACCAUUAUUUCUUCCUUUCGGUUGAGAGAUCCUUUUUGGAGAUUAAUGCCAAAGGGGGAGAAAUAUUGGGAGAGAGUGUAAGGGAGGAGAGAUUGAUAUGUGGAUUGAAAGGGGUAAAGGAGAGGCAUAUAAGAUUUUUCAAAUUUUUGUGUGGUGUGUGCAAGGAUAGUUUAUGCUCUUGAUAAGGACUUUUUAUGUUAGUGUGAAAUGUUCUUGACUUGAAUGGUGGUUGCCUUUAUUUCUGUGCUGCUCUGGCAAGUGCGGCAGUGCCGUCCUCCUAGUACGGCAGUGCCGCCCUCUGCUGGCCAGCAAACUUUGAGUGCAUGACCUGCCAUGAGCAUCACGUUUAUCAUGUUGACACCUUGCACCCCACGGAUGCUAAGAUAUAGAAGAGUUCCCACACUUCAUCUUGAAUAUGUGCAUUUGGCAUUUGAGGCCAAAACUUGAAAUUCUAUUCUAUGCACAUAUUUAAGGGGAGCUCACUAUAUCACAGGAUUCAAAAUCUUAAUGUUUAUCAAUCUCUUGUAAGCUUUAAUUGUGUUGUCAUCAAUCACCAAAAAGGGGGAGAUUGAAAGUGCAUCUAGCCCUUUGUGGGUUUUGGUGAAUUGAAUGACAACAUGAUUAAAGGUCUAAUAAGUUUGUUAAGUGUUGAACAGGAUAUUGAGUCUAUUGCACAUACUUGUGGAUUGUGUAUUAACAAGUAUGUUCAAGGCUCAACAAGCAGGCAAACUUGAUGAUAUGCCACAUAGUGUUGAAAUGAAGGCCAAAUUGUGUAUUGUUGUAUUAAAGGAUUAUGGAAACAAUCUAGGUCAAGCAAAAGACAACAAUGCAAAUAAAAUCUAUGGAAUGGCUUACAUGCUGUGGGAUAUCAUAACAUCAUGAGAAAGCAAGCAUAUUUGACAAAUGGCAAAAGAGACAUGAGUUGAUGUUCUUGGAUUGGUGUCUACAAUGGCUUGCUUUUCAUGAACAAGAAAAGCUUGAUAGUGAACUAGGUUUGAUCAAGCUAGAAGUAUGAAGAUCAAGAUUGAAGUGAGUAUUGAGUGUCAAGCCAAAAUAGAGAGGAUAUAAGGAACUAUGAAUUGGCUUGAUCAUAUUGAUGCUGAUCCAUAUAUGUCUCUAUGUGAGUCAAACUGAAGCUUGAUUGAUCUCAAUAUUUAUAUCUAGAAGAUAUUCAAGCAAGGAUCACAAUAUUGAAGAAAUGAUUAUUCAAUGGAUACUUAAUGUGAUAUGACUUGAGUAUGGCUUGAUAAGGUGAAGAUAGUAAGGAAAGGGCUUCGAGGGACUAAGCAGAGGUGAAGGGAUAAGCGACGGCUUAAGGACCGAGGUACCAUGGCUAAGGUGAAGAAGAGAGUACUUGCAUUGAGUCGAGGAACUAAUCAAGCUAUGAGGAGUCAUAUUGUGUUGAGAAUCAAAUCUUUAGUAGAAGUGACUUGAAUCCAUGGAGGUGAACUCAUAUGUGUUGAAAUGGGUCAAGUCACAUGCUCAAGGUGUGUUUGCUCAAGAAAAGGAGACAAAGUUGAUUGCAACCCUUUAUGUAGUAAUAUUGAGAAGAAAUGGCAUAUGAAGACAUUGAAGACUCAAGUGAUCAAAUUAGUUAUAUUCUCUUGUUCUUGAGUAUAGGUAUGCCGUACUAUCAAGGGGGAUGCAAUACGAAUGAUAGACAAGUCUCAAGUGCUCAAACUAACCGAACCCAAGUGCUAACAUGAGAGAAAACACUUAGCACUACACCUGCACAAGUUGAUCUUGGAGCUUGUUCUCUGCAGGGUUGGAUAGCCCUUGAAACAAGCUUUUCGAAAAGUCCAAGAUCACUACAAACGGAGUUCGGAGUAAAAAGUUAUGGCUUUUUCCGUAAGGUGACCUGUGCUGUUUUUACAAGGGCGGCAGUGCCGCCCCUGUACAGUCACAACGGCUAGUUUUCAAAUCCUAACGGCUAGUUUGAGUGGGAUGAGUAUAUAUACCCAUCCCACUGCUUCUGGUCGUGCUGCUGAUGCUCCAGACCUUCCCAACCUUUGCAAAGCCUCUCCCCAACCCUCUCUUUAUGAGAGUAUUGUGUUUAGUGCACAAUUUAGUGUUGGGGCUGUGUGAUUAAGUGUUAGAGAGCAGAUUAGAGCAAUCCUAACCUUGAGCACUUGCUGGGCUUCGUCGAUCUUCGUUGUGCAUUUGUUGCUCUUGGAGGUGAAGCCUCCUAGACGGCUAGGCGUCGUCCGGCGAGCUCCCGUGCUUGUGGUGAGCAGCGGGACAGUUUGUAAGACUCUCUUGCAGCUAGUGAAAUCACCCCUCACCUCAAGAGUUCAUUCUCUUGAUUUGAGAACGAGGGCAAGGCAAGCCUUGGUGGCGAGCCAAUCCUUUUGUGGAUACCUCAACAACGUGGACUUAGGCAAGCCUUGGUGGCGAGCUGAACCACGGGAUAAACACCGUGUCAUAUUGUGCUUGUUUUACAUUCUUGCAAGUUCAUAUUGUUGUUGAGGUGCUUGUAAGGUUUGUGGCCAAUCUACUUGGUGGUACUUGUUCUGCUGCGUAUAACUACUAUUCAGUGACUAACAUACUUGCAGGAAGCUGGGAAAUUUACCUGAUCUAAAUUUCCUUGGUUGGAUUUUGAAUUGUACUAAGUUCCUCCUGCGCAGGCCGGCAGUGCCGCCCUCCAAGGCCGGCAGUGCCGCCCUCCAAGGCCGGCAGUGCCGCCCUCUAAUCUGAUAGAGUUUUGAGUUGAAACUUUGCAGAUUUGUCACUGGAUAUCUUAAGUACAUCUUCACCAAGUUUGGGCUCCAUUGGACUCACGGUUGUACGAAGGCAGUGCCGCCCUCAAAGGGAGGCAGUGCCGCCCUGAGUUUUAGUUUUUGUUUGAGCAGAAUUUUCGCAGGCCUAUUCACCCCCCCCUCUAGGCCUCCUCGGUGACAUCAAGGUCCUUUCAAUUGGUAUCGGAGCUAGGCUCUCAAUUUCAGGCUUAACCACCUUGAGAGACGAUGUCGACAAGUGAGGAGGUAUCUCUAGAACUUUUACUUUUAGAUGGCUCAAAUUAUACAUCUUGGUCUGCUUGUAUGCUUGAUAUUUUUAGGGCCAUGGGUCCUCAAAUAGAGCAGAUUGUAGAUGUAAGUAUUUCACCUCCUAGUGAUAAUUUGGACUAUCUAUCUAGAGAGGAAGUGAAAUACUUACAAUACAAUGCUCAAGCUACUAAUGUCUUAUUUAGUGCUUUGAGUGAAGAUGUUCUUGAUGCCAUCAUAUUUGGAGAUGGUGAACCACUUGAUGAUGCUCAUAUCAUUUGGACCACGCUCAAAGAAAGAUAUGGCAGCUCCAAAUGUGAUGAGAAGUUGCUCUCAUUGGAGGAACCACUUGAGGAGUGCUCAACUUCACCAAUAAAUAAUGAGCCUCAAGUGAUUCUCCCAAAAGGCCUAAUGGAUCAUACCACAUCCACUUCCUCACCAACACAUGACUUAAUUGAUGGUAAUGAAAUAGUUGGUGAGAACAAAGCUUUUACAUGUGGUACUUCUACUUCCUCUAGUUCUUGUUGUUCUAACAUUUUGAAGGAAGGAGAAGCUUGUGAUCGGUGGAGGCCAAAUGAUGAAUCCCCCUCACCUACAAGCUCAACUCUCCAUGCUACUUCUCCUAUGUGUCUCAUGGCAAAAGGUGAGAAGGUAAAUCAAAAGCCAAACCUUCUUCACCUCCUAGUGACAUCUCUAGCAGUGAUCUUAGUGAUAGCUCUAGUGAUGAUGAAUCUAGUGAUGAAGAGAUUGAUGACAUAAUUAAAAAUUUGGAUCCUAAGACCAAACUCUUCAUCUCUAAACUAAUGGAGGAUUUAGAGGGCAUUCAAGCUGAACUAGCAACUAGAGAUGAUGAUCUUAUUGCACAAGAAAAUAUUUAUAUUGCUAGUAAGGAAGCUCUUGCAUUAGAGAGAAGUGAGGUGGCCUCCUUGCACAAGGCUUUGGCUAAAGAGCAAGAUGACCAUGCUCUCACAAGGAAGGCAAAUAUUACACUCAAUCAAAAGUAUUGUGACUUAGAUGAAAAGCACAAAGAGCUUGAGCUGCAAUAUAAUCUUCUUUGGGAGAGCACCUCACAUCCCUCUAAGGCAAAGGAUGCCUCUACUCCCUCCACUAGCCAAGGUUGUGGAAAAUGCUUUAAUCUUGAUUUGAAUAUUUAUGCCACUAACCUUGCUAAUAUGGAGGUCAUGAGAAAGGAGAUUGCUAGGCUCAAUGAAAUCAUAGCAGCAGGGUGCAUGAAUGACAAAACUCAAUAUGCUGGCAAGAAAAUUGUGAAUGGCUUUGAAUGUGUGCAGUUUGAGAGGAGAGAGCAGUUUGGUACAGUUCAGCCUGCACAGACCGCGGUAGUGCCGCACCCCAAGGGCGGCAGUGCCGCGCCCCGCAAAAAUGGGAAGGCUACCAAUCUGUCUCCUAAUCAAACUAAGCUCAUAAUGAAAAAGUCUAGGCAGAACAACAAAGCUCCCAAAGCCAUCAAGGUGCAGCAUCAACCAAAGAAGACUCUCAUCACUUGCUUCAAGUGCAAGAAAGAGGGUCACCAUGUGAAAGACUGCACCUUAAAUAAAGAAGAGAAGAGCAUGAGCAAGAUUCAAGAGAAGAAGAAGAAGAUGGCUCAUGUCAAGUCCUCUGGUAUGGGACAUAAUGCUUUUAUGUGUUCCAACAAAGUUGAUGACCAAGCCACACUUCCAAAGAACAAGACAAAAAGAAGCAAGAGGAAGUGUUAUGAAUGCAAAGAGAAGGGACAUGAAAUUGACUCAUGUCCCAACAAGAAAAGUGAAGGUUUAUCAUCAACAACAAAGAGGCUCUUUAGCAAGGUAGCAAGCAAAAUGCAAGAAAAGAAGGCUAACAAGAACAAGAGCCGCCUAUGCUACACUUGUAGAGAAAAGGGACACCUAAGCAUAAAUUGUCCCAUGGGUAACACUCACAAGCCCAACUCAUCAAUUGAUUCAAAUAUGCUUAGGAGGCCCAAAAAUGACACUUGUGCUAGAAAGGUGAUAGGUUCACCAAGUGGUAGCACAAAGGCCAUUUGGGUACCUAAGUCUCUUGUGACUAACCAUGAUGGACCCAACAUAGUUUGGGUACCAAAUUGUGCAUGAUGAGUGUUGUAGGUACUUGAAGGUGAUAUGAUGCUUCGGGGUGCUUGAGCAAGUUGAUUGAAAAUUUUCACUCAAGCUAUCAACCAAUUCAUAUUGUUUCUUCUUAUAUGGUUGACUCGAAGAUAAAUUAAUGAAAUUAUUUCAAACUUCAUAUUCACCUUGGUAACUAGUACCUAACCCUUGCUAGCUAGCCAUUUGACUUGUGUAGUCUCUGGUAGUUCACAAGUAUGUGUGUAUUUGUGAAUUAUCAAGAGUGGCUAGAGUAUUUCAAGUUAAAUGAAUCAUUUGCCAUAUGAUGCUUUUAAUGGCUCUCUAGUAGAGCAAAAUCUUGUUUAUGCUGUAGGUAAUGAGGAAUCAUCUUAUGAGGUAAUCAAGAAAAUUGCCACUGGUGAUUUGAGACCAAAGAAGUCCAAGUAACACUGAUAAGGAUAUCCUCAAGCUGCUGCUGCACCUAAUUCCGCUGACACCUCUGAUGCGGUAGUGCCGCCCCUCAGAGCGGCAGUGCCGCCCCUAUAUAGAUAGCAGUAGCUGACAUUAGUCCAAGACAUGGAUGAAGCCUACAACAUGAUGAUGAGCAAAGUGAAAAUGAUGAGACCACCUCAUCCAUCAUAUCUCAAGAAGGGUGGUAACAACAAUAUCUCAAGUGCAAUUAUUUUAAAACUAAACUCCUUUGUGUCUUGUGUAGUCACUUAGGAUAAAUGAAGCACUUGGAGAUAUUCAUUGGUUGCUGGUCAUGAAAGAAAAGUAUGAUUGGAAUUGAAUAGAUCAUCCACACCAAGCAACAUAGAUGACUUUAAGGAGUUUCCUCUGUGGACCUCAAACCAAGAAUUUCAAGAAAGCUCAAGUAGAGGCACUUGUUAUUCACAAUUCAUGAACUCUCUACUUGAUGGAAUCUAGUCAUAUGGUAGAUCGCCAAAAUUCUCAUUUUCAUCUUAUGGGCAUCUACAUGUUGCAAUGGUUGUGAGUAUCUCUUGGCAUAUUUCAAUUACACUAUUUGUUGCCAUGACCUAGACAUAGAGUGAAAAUCCCAAGUUCUUGAAUGAAUAAAAGUGUUAUAUGAGAAAUUCAAAUGCUUAGAGCACUUAUCAAAAGGGAAUUUACUCUAUGACUAGAGUUGUGAGACUAACCAUUUCUCUAAGUGAUUUAUGUAGUCUCACUAAAUGAGAAUGUGUUUCUCAAAUGGAGUGUGCUGUUAUAUGAAGAUCAUUAUUCCAAAACCAUGUGAUGUAUUCUCUCUAGCUAUUUUGGAAUUGAUUCAUCUAUGAUCAGCCACUCACCAUAAUAUGGCUUAAAUCUGCCCUUUGGACUUAAUUGACCAACCAUGCACAUUCACACUUUCAUUUCCACUCAAAGAGUGUGCAUGAGACAUCAAGGGAGAUUUAGUCCAUAUUAUGAGGUUUCUCUAUUUAGUGACCCACUUGCCUUCCACAUAUAAAGGGUUACUAAGUGAGAAACUAGUGCUUGUGUUUCUAAUGACCUUUUUGUGUUGAGCUUGCAUAGGAAAUCAAUAAAAGUUUAUUGUUGGCUAAAUUGAAGAAUUCACAAGCUAUAAGGUUACUCUCCACCUAAAGUAAGAUAUUGCUGCUAGGGGUCAUAUUGAUCAAAAUCUGAAUUUGAAUGAAAUCAAGUUUGAGGGUUAAAUUGGAUGAGCUAUAUUAGAAGAAUUCACAACAUGACAAGUACUAAUAAGAGGACUGAAUGGAAAUUGCAUCUUGUGAGUAUUCUCAACCAAAUCCACCUCAAGACUGGACAAGAAGCAAAGAAGAAUUGUGAAAUAUGAAAUCUGUCCAGAAAUUUGAAAAUCUGAAUUGGCUGCCUUCAAGCAUGGAUUUGGAAGUCCAAACUCUGAUGAAUUGACCUGAAACAUUAUGAGCAUGACACACAUAUCUGAUACUUGUUUCUGUACAGUUUGCAUGAAGAUUGGUUAAGAAGAAAAUCAGUUUUGAGUUGAAUUCUGUCAGCUUCAGCAUUGCAGAUUCAGACCAUAGCAGUUUUGGUAGAAAAUUAUUUUGACUGAUCUAAUGGAGUCCAAAUGAGAUGAAAUUUAUACAGAAGUUAGAGGACUAACAGAUGAAGACCUCUUCCAAAUUUCAUGCAUAUUGGGCUAGUGGUCUGAGAGAUAUGAAUUCUUCUCUGAGGAUGACAGAAUCUGAAAACUGACUGUUUGGAAUUGGAUUGCAGUAUAACAACAAGAUUCAGUUGGCUCUCAAGUUGAUCAUGAAAGAUUUAUUAAAAAUGAGCAACAUCAGUUUGGAUAAAGGAGUUUCAUUGGAAGAAGAGAACUCAUACAAGGAUCCAAACAAGUUGCAAUCAGAUUACAAGCAGUAGCAAAUAAUUGCAAUUAGUUGUUAGAAGAAUUCAAAUGCAGUCUUUCAAAAACAGCAGCUAAGAUCAGUUGAAACUUGAUUAAACUAGUUGGCUUCAGCUUUGACAAGUAGCAAAAAUGAGUUACAAUCAGAUGGUACUAGCUGAAAUCAAUUGGAAGCAACUGAAACUAGCUGAAACUAAUUAGAUUACAACAGCCUGAAGGAGUUUGAAACCAGUUGGAAUGCAGUGUAAACUUCUCCCUUGACCUCAUGGUAUUGAUAUGCAUGAGUGUACUCUGUGUACUUAUGCACAUAUUAAGGGGGAGUUUAGACUAUAUCUUGUGAGACUAUUGGUUUCUUUCAAGUGUAUGUUGUGCAGUCCCACACAAUGGAAAAGGAAGAUGGAUGAUUCCAAUGGAUUCUCUUAGUGCUUCACAAUUAUUCUAGGAUCUUGGUUUUUAUAAACCAGGUGCUCCCAAUUUAAUGUCGAAUGCCCCAAUCCUUAGUGGAACUGAAUUUAAAUGAGUUGGAGAAAAUAAUUGAAGAAUGAGCUUUCAUGACUAUUUCUCCUCUCUAGAGCUCUCAAGUGUUUACGACUCAUCUCAUUGAUUACCUAGGAUCUUGUCAACAAAGACUGGUAACUCCUAGUUCAUAAUUUGCAAAUUUCAUGAAUUUUACCUUUUGCUCUCUAUGUGGGUUGCCUUAGGUAAAGAAAGAACUAGGAACAUAAUUUGUAUCUUGGAUGAUCACAAGAGCUCUAAUUCACCACAUGUCAUCAAUUGAGAAAUGCAUGGUCAUCGAAAUCUUUUGAGCCUCACUUAUGAUGGUCAUAUCAAUGAAAAUCUAUGUGGUGAUCUAUAUACCUUGGUGGUGGUAUGUUUCCUUGGCACAAUUUCAAUUGUUGCAAACUUAUGAUACCUUGACCAAGGUAUAGGAUGAACUCCUCUUGACUCUUAAACCGAUUCAAAUGCACUUUGCAAGUAAUUUGAGUACUUGCUGCAUAUAUUAAGGGGGAGUCCAUUAUAUGUCUUGUGUCUUUGAGACUAACCUUUUCUUCUAGUGAAUUUGUGUAGUCUCUUGGUGAGAAUGAGUUUCUCAUGGGUAUGCUACAUUAACUCAAUCCAAAUGGUAAAGUUAUCUCUCAUAUUUACUUGGAUUGCAAUUUUACUACUUAAGUAGCUACUCUCCAUAAUAUAGCUUAAAUUCCCCUAUUUGGACUUAAUUGACCAAAAGUGCAUAUUUCUUGCCUUCCACAUAUAUAUGUAUGCACUAUCAAAAAGAGGGAAUUUAGUCUAUGUUAUGAGGUUUUGCAAUUAGUGACUUACAUGACUUCCACAUCCAAAAGGUCACUAGUUGUGAAACUCUAGCUUGUGCAAUUUGAUGUUAUCUCUUGUCUUGUAAGCAUUACCUAGGUGACAAUAUGAGAUACAAGCAUCCCAUCCAAUUGGCAUCAGCUUUUGAAGAUUCCUUCAAUUGGUGUCAAAAUUGAGAAGAUCAUAUUUCAAUUGGUAUUGGUGGAUAAUCUUUCAACCUGUCAUAUCAAGAAAUAUGUCUUCAACUGGUAUCUCAAAAUAACAACAAGACUGGCAAUGGACUGUCAACUCAAAUCAAGCACAAGUUUAUGAUAUCUCCUAUGAUCAAGAGAGAUCAUAAAUGAAGUCUUUUUGCAUUUUGCCAAGCCCAUCAAAGCACUAAAUUCAUAAUAUCAUGAUCACAGUGGAGAUUAUGAGGUUUAGAACAAAGGUAUAUUAAUCCAUAAACUCUUGUAUUACCUUUGUGCAUCUAGGCCCUUACAUGCUAGUGUGUGCAUGUGUAUGCAAUAUUUAAGCCACACCAUGAGUUUUUUCUUAUGGUGACGAUUAGAGAAUGAUUUAGAUAUUUGGUUGAUACCUCUAUGGUGGUAAAGUGAGUUUGUCUCAUGUUAAAACUAUCAUCUAAGUGAGGUAUGAGCUAAAUAUGCUAACUUCUCAAGAAUCUUGACUUAAGGUGUUGCAUACUUGGUUUGGUAGAAAACUUAGGAGAGAAAUCCUAUAUGCUAAACUUUUACCUACCUCUUGCCCUCAUUUGUCUACCAUUAUUUCUUCCUUUCGGUUGAGAGAUCCUUUUUGGAGAUUAAUGCCAAAGGGGGAGAAAUAUUGGGAGAGAGUGUAAGGGAGGAGAGAUUGAUAUGUGGAUUGAAAGGGGUAAAGGAGAGGCAUAUAAGAUUUUUCAAAUUUUUGUGUGGUGUGUGCAAGGAUAGUUUAUGCUCUUGAUAAGGACUUUUUAUGUUAGUGUGAAAUGUUCUUGACUUGAAUGGUGGUUGCCUUUAUUUCUGUGCUGCUCUGGCAAGUGCGGCAGUGCCGUCCUCCUAGUACGGCAGUGCCGCCCUCUGCUGGCCAGCAAACUUUGAGUGCAUGACCUGCCAUGAGCAUCACGUUUAUCAUGUUGACACCUUGCACCCCACGGAUGCUAAGAUAUAGAAGAGUUCCCACACUUCAUCUUGAAUAUGUGCAUUUGGCAUUUGAGGCCAAAACUUGAAAUUCUAUUCUAUGCACAUAUUUAAGGGGAGCUCACUAUAUCACAGGAUUCAAAAUCUUAAUGUUUAUCAAUCUCUUGUAAGCUUUAAUUGUGUUGUCAUCAAUCACCAAAAAGGGGGAGAUUGAAAGUGCAUCUAGCCCUUUGUGGGUUUUGGUGAAUUGAAUGACAACAUGAUUAAAGGUCUAAUAAGUUUGUUAAGUGUUGAACAGGAUAUUGAGUCUAUUGCACAUACUUGUGGAUUGUGUAUUAACAAGUAUGUUCAAGGCUCAACAAGCAGGCAAACUUGAUGAUAUGCCACAUAGUGUUGAAAUGAAGGCCAAAUUGUGUAUUGUUGUAUUAAAGGAUUAUGGAAACAAUCUAGGUCAAGCAAAAGACAACAAUGCAAAUAAAAUCUAUGGAAUGGCUUACAUGUUGUGGGAUAUCAUAACAUCAUGAGAAAGCAAGCAUAUUUGACAAAUGGCAAAAGAGACAUGAGUUGAUGUUCUUGGAUUGGUGUCUACAAUGGCUUGCUUUUCAUGAACAAGAAAAGCUUGAUAGUGAACUAGGUUUGAUCAAGCUAGAAGUAUGAAGAUCAAGAUUGAAGUGAGUAUUGAGUGUCAAGCCAAAAUAGAGAGGAUAUAAGGAACUAUGAAUUGGCUUGAUCAUAUUGAUGCUGAUCCAUAUAUGUCUCUAUGUGAGUCAAACUGAAGCUUGAUUGAUCUCAAUAUUUAUAUCUAGAAGAUAUUCAAGCAAGGAUCACAAUAUUGAAGAAAUGAUUAUUCAAUGGAUACUUAAUGUGAUAUGACUUGAGUAUGGCUUGAUAAGGUGAAGAUAGUAAGGAAAGGGCUUCGAGGGACUAAGCAGAGGUGAAGGGAUAAGCGACGGCUUAAGGACCGAGGUACCAUGGCUAAGGUGAAGAAGAGAGUACUUGCAUUGAGUCGAGGAACUAAUCAAGCUAUGAGGAGUCAUAUUGUGUUGAGAAUCAAAUCUUUAGUAGAAGUGACUUGAAUCCAUGGAGGUGAACUCAUAUGUGUUGAAAUGGGUCAAGUCACAUGCUCAAGGUGUGUUUGCUCAAGAAAAGGAGACAAAGUUGAUUGCAACCCUUUAUGUAGUAAUAUUGAGAAGAAAUGGCAUAUGAAGACAUUGAAGACUCAAGUGAUCAAAUUAGUUAUAUUCUCUUGUUCUUGAGUAUAGGUAUGCCGUACUAUCAAGGGGGAUGCAAUACGAAUGAUAGACAAGUCUCAAGUGCUCAAACUAACCGAACCCAAGUGCUAACAUGAGAGAAAACACUUAGCACUACACCUGCACAAGUUGAUCUUGGAGCUUGUUCUCUGCAGGGUUGGAUAGCCCUUGAAACAAGCUUUUCGAAAAGUCCAAGAUCACUACAAACGGAGUUCGGAGUAAAAAGUUAUGGCUUUUUCCGUAAGGUGACCUGUGCUGUUUUUACAAGGGCGGCAGUGCCGCCCCUGUACAGUCACAACGGCUAGUUUUCAAAUCCUAACGGCUAGUUUGAGUGGGAUGAGUAUAUAUACCCAUCCCACUGCUUCUGGUCGUGCUGCUGAUGCUCCAGACCUUCCCAACCUUUGCAAAGCCUCUCCCCAACCCUCUCUUUGUGAGAGUAUUGUGCUUAGUGCACAAUUUAGUGUUGGGGCUGUGUGAUUAAGUGUUAGAGAGCAGAUUAGAGCAAUCCUAACCUUGAGCACUUGCUGGGCUUCGUCGAUCUUCGUUGUGCAUUUGUUGCUCUUGGAGGUGAAGCCUCCUAGACGGCUAGGCGUCGUCCGGCGAGCUCCCGUGCUUGUGGUGAGCAGCGGGACAGUUUGUAAGACUCUCUUGCAACUAGUGAAAUCACCCCUCACCUCAAGAGUUCAUUCUCUUGAUUUGAGAACGAGGGCAAGGCAAGCCUUGGUGGCGAGCCAAUCCUUUUGUGGAUACCUCAACAACGUGGACUUAGGCAAGCCUUGGUGGCGAGCUGAACCACGGGAUAAACACCGUGUCAUAUUGUGCUUGUUUUACAUUCUUGCAAGUUCAUAUUGUUGUUGAGGUGCUUGUAAGGUUUGUGGCCAAUCUACUUGGUGGUACUUGUUCUGCUGCGUAUAACUACUAUUCAGUGACUAACAUACUUGCAGGAAGCUGGGAAAUUUACCUGAUCUAAAUUUCCUUGGUUGGAUUUUGAAUUGUACUAAGUUCCUCCUGCGCAGGCCGGCAGUGCCGCCCUCCAAGGCCGGCAGUGCCGCCCUCUAAUCUGAUAGAGUUUUGAGUUGAAACUUUGCAGAUUUGUCACUGGAUAUCUCAAGUACAUCUUCACCAAGUUUGGGCUCCAUUGGACUCACGGUUGUACGAAGGCAGUGCCGCCCUCAAAGGGAGGCAGUGCCGCCCUGAGUUUUAGUUUUUGUUUGAGCAGAAUUUUCGCAGGCCUAUUCACCCCCCCCCCCCCCCCUCUAGGCCUCCUCGGUGACAUCAAGGUCCUUUCAAUGUGUCUAAAAUUUGUAUGAGUAGAAAUCAACAUGAAAGUACACGCAGUUAGAGUGGAUUGGAGGAAAUCUUUGCAGUUACCAUGAACAGUAUGUUUAUAGUUUCAUAUCUCUUUUGACAGUGCCUAAAAAAACUCUCUUUCCAUAGUUAAUCCUAAUGACCACUGGCGGAGGGCAAUGGAGGCGAAGCUGGGCGCUUGCCUCCCCUUUCUCCAUGCACUGGCCACUACAGGUCCUAUCUCUGACAUGGAGAAGCAAGGUAAGGGAGUCAUAUCAUAGUUCAAGCAUUAUGUGAGAGUUGUAGCUGGCUCUCUUUUUAAUUAGCUUCACACUCCGCCGCUGCUAAUGACUAUUAUAUUAACACAAACUCUUGCCAGCUGCCACGUUUGGCACGUCGCAUCGCAAUCGCCUGCAUCCACCGUGUCCCACGUACGUUUUUCCUUGGGUUGUUUGCCUCGCCGAGAAGGGAACAGGACGGUCAAGUCAAAGAUCGGUGGCCGGAUCAUUCCACUUCCAGUUCCAGCCGCCCGCCGCGACGUGUACCUGUGCUGUGCAUGUGGCCGCCUUCGUGGGUUUUUUUUUUUUUUUUUUUUUUGUUCAGCAACGAACGUACCGAUAGGAAUGUGAUGUGGGAGAAGCAGAGAGGCCGGCCGCGGAGGGUGGAAAAAGGCUGGCUUGACUGGGGAGAGUAUCGGGUCCCACAUCGCGACUGGUUCCACUGAGCGGUGGUCCCAUGCCAGUACAAUCGCUGGCUUGCUUUGCAGUUGUAGGUCCACGUCCAACCGCUCCAGCUCGUAAUUCUCCAUGGAGGCAUGAAGCCAGCUCAUGUCGUUUUUAUUGUGAAAAGUCAAGAGCAUUAUUUAAUACUAGCGUGCAUCGUGCCGGUACCGGCCAACGAAGAAGGUGUUUAGAGCGUUGGUCGGUUAAGGGCUUCCCCGUCGAAUGAUGGUUUCGCAAGGAGUAGAACGGCAGCUUUACUACUCCCUCCCUCCCUCCAUCAUCAUUAAAAAAAAGUCGCUACGAAAAUCAUGCUGAUCAAAUUUAACUAGAUUUAUAAAUAAUAUAAUACAUACUUCCUCUGUAUCAGAUUUAAAAGUCGUUUAAAACAGCAACACAGUUUUCAAAUUAUAACUUUGACCUCUUAUUUUUAUAAAAAUAAUUUUAACAAAAUGAUAUAUGUGUACAUUUAUGAAAGUAUUUUUUAAGACAAAUCUAUUCAUAUAAUUUUCAUAUUUUUUAAGACAAAAGUUAUUGAUGAGUUAUAUUGCUAAUGUUUGACCCAAAUCUUGUCAAAAAAACUUCUAAAUCCGAUAUGGAGGGAGUACAAUAUUUAUAUCUUUAAAUAAAUUUGUUAUAAAAGUAUAUUCAACAAUCUAGCUAAUCAUAUAAAUUAUAUACUAUAAAUAUUAAUAUUUCGUUAAAUAUAUUUGGUCAAAGUUAAAAGUUAGAUAGCUCUUAUUUAGGGAAGGAGGAAGUAUGUCUCAUGAGUCAUGACAUAAAAGUCUAGGCAACCGCCAGAGUCUCGUGUUGUGAGAAGCUGGAAUGGGAAAAACCUGUGUAUAAUGGAUUAAUGGGACCAUAAAUAAUGUUGCUGCGUACUCCCUCCGUCCAUUAGGCCAGUCUCAAUGAGGGUUUUAUUAGAGUUUCAUUACAUUAAAUAUGCUGAUGUGGCACUAUAUUAAUGAAGAGAGAGAUGGUAAGAGUUUUAUGGGAGUAGAGAGAGUUUCAUCCCCAUAAAACUCCUAUGUACUGUUUCCAAAAUAUUGAUGUGUUGGAAACUGUGUCAUGAAACUCCCAUUGAGGAUGGCCUUAGUCUCCUUCGUUUAAGCCUUGUGCACAGAGACCAAGGAGCAUGAAAGACUCACGUCACGUCUUUUCAAUAAAUUAUUAUGGUCCAAUUAAUCUAAUUAAUGUGCAUGCCUGCAUGCAACCAAUGAACAGCCAAUAUGACCCAAGUCCUACAUGGAGACGUGUGCAUACAUCCAAAGAAUGGCCAUAAUUACAGCCGAUCACCUCAACAUGAUGGAGAUAAUUGGAAGAAAAACUUUUGCUUAAAUGAUUGAGAUAAAUGGACGGAGGGAGUAUUGACUAUGCUCUCGUUAAUACAUACUCGUCUCAUCUACGUGGAGGCUGGAGCGAGACCAGCCACCUCCGAUGCAUCCUCAUCUACGUGGAGCAAUAACUUUCGUUGAGGCUAACAACGCUAUUUAGGGGUGUUUGGUUUGCUCUGUUAAACUUUACCGCUUGUUAUAUUGAAUGUUUAGAUACAAACUAUUUACGAAAUUAAAAAUACAGCUGGAGAGUAAUUUGAGAGACGAAUCUUUUAAACCCAAUUAAUCUAUAAUUAGAUACUAAUUAUCAAAUAAGACAAAAAUGCUACAUUAACCAUCGAAACGGGACACCCCCUUAGCUUACGGUGGUCGUGUCCUCAUAGACACAUGAGUCUUUAAAGUGAGUAAAAGUAUUCUUCGACAGAUGAGUCAUUCCCUAAAAAAUAUCAGCUGGUUUUAAGGGAUGUUUGGUUGCUAGCCAUAGUUUACCAUAACUAACUUUAGGUAAGUAUGGCAAGCCACAAAAAGUGUGGUUAGCAAAUUGGUUGCCACACUUUGCUAUGCCUAAAGGAAUCUUGCCACACUUUUUAACUCUAUGACAUGUGGAGCCCAAAAGAAUCAUGUCUAAACUUAGUUGUCAACCAAACACUUGCCAACUUGGUCAAACAUGCCUAAGGUAAAGUGUGGCAAACUGUGGCUGGCAACCAAACAGCCCCUUAUUCUCUAGUCCAUGUCAGCUGAGCAUGGUAACUUGGUAAGGUACAUACACCUUCAUUACCUUAAGUUUGUCGUUGGCUAGCUCAAAAUUAUGCUAAAAAUUGCAGGCGUAUUUUUCCUUUGCCCCUAAAUAUUUGACGGAACCUAGUACUUGAUACUUUUCCUUCCAAAUAGAAUAUUGUCGGUGCACACGAUGCUAAAUCGUGUUUUCAUUUUCAAAAUAUAAAAAGGGGAAUGACUCCGUACUCAAUGAGACUUGGAUAUGAGGUUGUGCAGCUGUUGGACGGGGACCUAUAAAAGGCCGACUAUCUCCAACAAUCAUCACCCAAAAUACAAGACCUAUUUAUCCUUUGGGUAGCGCUACAGGUAAAAGGUUUCAUACCUAUAUUUAGUCUUCUCCAGCAACGAGACCUAAAAGAAAACACUCUCUGCAAAUGGGUCUCGAGGAGAGAGAAUACCCAAAUUUGGGUUAUGCCUCUCCUGAUACCUAAAAAGGGUUUUCUGUAUGGAUACUCUGUUGGAGGCUAUAGGUAUUGUGUUGGAGACCCAUUUUGGGUUUGGGUUCCCAAAUGGGUCUCCUAUCGGAGACAGCCUUAAAAAGCCACAUGAUUUCUGGUUCUGUUUCUCCAGUAUCCAGAUCAUUUUUUUGUUCCUUAUUUUAAUGUAGUACGGUAUCAGUAUUUGUUUCAAUAAUGAAUGUACUACAUGUUUAUUGAUGGUCUCACCCACCAAAGCCUAGAAAUAAAUGAUACAGUAAGCUAUGAGCUAGCUAGAUAUUUUUCGUAGCACCACAAAAUGAUUGAAUGAAAUUCUUAGUACGUGUUUAAAUAAAAAAAAGGUGGGUCAAGAUGAAUGACCCAUUCCCCAUCCACAAAGAGCAUUAUGACUUAUUAUCAGCGGGGGUUGAAGAAAUGGACAUAGACCUACAAGUGCAAGUGAAGGGAUUGGUAGAACAACUCCAAGAGACCUGUUAUGUAAUAUCUAAUGGUUAGGAAUAAAAUUUUAGUAAAAAGUCUUUAACAGUAUUUUUUAUUAAAAUUUUAAAUAUAGCCAUCUUCUAUUUCGAAUUUCUUGUUAGCUGAAGAUAGAAAAUAAGAAUGACUAUCUGAAAACAUGUAGAAAAAUUGUUGAAGAUAGAACGGAUAUAGAAAACGAUCUAUAUGCACAUAAUUCUUUGAAAUAAUGACUUAAAGGGUGAUUUUUGGAAAGGCACUCAGCCAUAGCUGAUUUGUUGUGAAAAAAAAUAUUGUUUAAUGACUGAUAAAUUUAGCUAAUAAACUCUAUGACAGCUCAUACCAACAAGCCGGAUACAGGGCCACCGAUCGCUGCUGCUCUGAUUUUUCUCUUGGGUCCUUAACCGCCCCGACAAAUCUUUCCCCAGCCAAACAGUGUAAAAUCAGACCGGUGUGUAGUACUGAUGAAUUAAGCGUCAAACCGAAGAAGGUUCGUUAAUCACACCAUCGUGAGUGCGAUCUUUUUCUUCCUUCCUUUUUUGUUUGGCAUUGCUUCACCUAGCCUACUAUGAAAAAAGUUAAUCAACAGCCAAACACGUGCAGGGUUGUAACCUUCCGGCGACCGGCGGAGCUCCGUUGUCGGAUCACCGACGAGAUCGGAGCGCGGAACGGCCAAUCGCUGCUGUCGCUCGCUCGCGGAUGCGGACAGCGUGCAGCUGUACGCGGUACGCCUGCUCCAUGGCUGGUUGUUCACCUGCCGCUGUCGUCACGUGGCGUGCUCGGCUGCUCGCUUAACUCUGCUCCAGAUCCGCCGCCAGGCCACAGCACCCCGCUCGCCGCCGGUGGACGGCCGCCCACCGCCAUGGCCGUGGUCGUCAGACGCGUGUUUGGUUCUAGGUUACUGUAACAGGAUGGUUCUAUUCUCUGUCUCUCUCUGCUUGACUGGAGAACGAGGACAUCCUGUUCUGUGUUUCGUUACCUAUGAUAUGAUGAUGAUGCAUUAGACAUAUGUUUUUUUUUACAACCAUUAGAAAUAUGUUAUCCUCUCUCAUCUUCCACAUUGCUACAUCUCUCGGCCCCAACCGUCCCAUUUGCCCUGUCAUGGUUGAGCUUGUCUGUUGAAGCACAAUUGCCCUGUUUCACUUAGCCGCAGAAUAUUUUUUUUUUCUCAAAACAAAUUAGUAUUAGCAUAAGCCGCCGAAAUAAUCAUCCCCGCUAGCUGUUUAAACAGUUCUUUCUUUGGGUGACAAAAAAAUACCUCUACUCGCUCAGAAAUACAGUAGAACUCCACGUGCCCACCCGAUCUACAAAAAGGAUGCAUAAUUUCAGCUUUCCUGCUCAAGAAUCAUGACUGAGGCUUUUAGCCAUGUUUUCAGUUUUUCUCUCUUAUCAAAUGGCCAACUGUUCUUUUAGUCAUAAUUUUUCAGUUUUUCUCUCUUAACAAACAGCGAACGGUUCUUUCAGCUAUAAUAUUUCAGCUAAGCGCGCAUCACGUACCGGUGGCCAAUUUUGCUGCUGUUCAAGUUUGGCCAGUUGUGUAACCAACAGCAACAAAGAUCCAGCCUGUCCCUUCAGUUGCCAAUUUGUGCAGUAUGAACUGUGCGCACCUUUCACAGCUGCUCAAAGGUCACACGAAACAAUUUUUUCACCACCUUUCAUGGUACUCAAAGGUCACCAAGCACAAGUGGACGGAGAAAUGUGAACUUGUAAUUGCGCUUGGUUACACAGGGGGCACCUAAAGGGUAACAGUAACAUACGAAUAUUGAUAGAUUAAAAACUGCAAAUCUCUCAGCAGUUUCAGUACAGACUCGAAAAGGGGAAGAAAAAAAAAUACUGGACGACCAAACUAAAAGAUAAAGAUCAGCGCAUAAUCCUGGUUGCUGCCACACCAAAUUAUACCAAUCCCUAAGCCGGCGGCGCCGACAUGGCUUGCUUGCCAAAGCCUUCUUUUCUUCUCUUCUAUGGAGCAGCCAGUCACUGAUCAAACACACAUCCAGGAGCAGGAGCAGCAGCAGCAGCAGCAAUGCUUGCAGCAGGUAUCAGCAGAGCCAGAGGAAGAUACAGCACGGAGACACACAGUCUUCUUCAUGUCCAAUUUGGCUUCCCAAUCUUAAGCGGAUGCCUUGUCGAACUUGAGGGGCUUCACCACCUCCCAGGUGAAGUCGGCGUCGUCACGGCCAAAGUGGCCGUAGGCGGCGGUCUUGAUGAACCUGUUGCCGCCUUUCUUCAGGUCGAGGUUGAUGGUGAUCAUGCCGGGCCUGAAGUCGAAGUUCUCCUUGACGAUCUUGAGGAUCUCCUUGUCCGGGAUGCUCCCGGUGCCGUACGAGUCGACGAACACGGACAGGGGCUCCGGCACGCCGAUGGCGUAGGAGACCUGCACGAGGCAGCGGCGGGCGAGGCCGCUGGCCACGAUGCUCUUGGCGGCCUGCCUGGCGAUGUAGGCGCCGCUGCGGUCCACCUUGGUGGGGUCCUUGCCGGAGAAGGCGCCACCGCCGUGGGCACCCCAGCCGCCGUAGGUGUCGAUGAUGAUCUUGCGGCCGGUGAGGCCGGCGUCGCCGUGGGGCCCACCGAUGACGAAGCGGCCCGACGGGUUGAGGUGGAAGAUGGUCUUCUCGUCGAGGUACUUCUCCGGGAUGACGGGCUUGAUGACGUGCUCCUUGAGGUCGGCGGCGAUCUCGUCGUUGGUGACGGUCUCGUCGUGCUGGGUGGAGAUGAGGACGGUGUGGACGCGGACGGGCACCAUGGCGCCGCCCUCGUUGACGUACUCCACCGUGACCUGGGUCUUGCCGUCGGGCCUGAGCCAGGCGCAGGUGCCGUUCUUGCGGACCUCGGUGAGGCGCGCGCCGAGCUUGGUGGCCAGCACGUGGCUGAGCGGCAUCAGCUCGGGGGUCUCGUCGGUGGCGUACCCGAACAUGUGGCCCUGGUCGCCGGCGCCGAUCUCCUCGGGCCGCUUGGUGAAGUGCCCGUGCACGCCCUGCGCGAUGUCGGGGGACUGCUGCUCGAUGUUGACCAGCACCUUGCAGCGGUCCGCGUCGAGGCCCACGUCGUCGGAGACGAAGCCGAUCUCGCGGCAGGUGUCCCGGACGAUCUUCUCGUAGUCCACGGUGGCCUUGGUGGUGAUCUCGCCGAACACCAUCACCAUGUUGGUCUUGGUGCAGGUCUCGCACGCCACCUUGCUGUCGGGGUCCUGCGCGAGGCAGGCGUCGAGCACGGCGUCCGACACCUGGUCGCACAGCUUGUCGGGGUGCCCCUCGUUCACGGACUCCGAGGUGAAGAGGAAGCUCUCAGCCGCCAUUGCUUUCUUCUUCUCGGGCGAUAAAUUAACCUCUGCAAAUUUUAUUUGAAAAAAAAAAGGAAUUCAGACAAUCAGAAACCAUCCGCAGAUCCACCGCACAUUCGAAUUGGAUGACCAACAAAUAUACUUAUUAAACCGAUGCCGUGAGAUCUGAAAAUCAGAGCACCACAGACAACUCCAAAUGCAGAGGCUACGAGAUCUAAUAAAAUGGUGAACCCUCCCUCCGAGACACCAAAUUUUUUUAAAAAAAAAAUCCCAAAAUUUGUCCACUGAAUCUCAAAUUUAAACGGCACCCCAGAUCUACAGAAUCCCUAAAUAAGCAUAAUAAUCACCAAAACCCACACCGGGAUCGGCCAUCCCGUGGCGACCAUCAGAUCCAACCGAGGAAGACCCAACCAAGGUUUGCAGCAUCUCCCCCCAAGCAUGCGCGCACAAAUGACAAAACCACGCACGCACGGACGGACGAACCUCGGGAGAAGCACGACGAACGGGGAAAUGACGAACCAACGAGAGAGAGAAGCAGCAGGCUGGAACUCACCUUGCGCUGCUGCUCUUUAUUCGGGACCGGCAAGAGGGAGAAGAUGCGAACGGGGAUGUGUGGCACGGGGUCUCGGCACUGCUGGGGGCUCCGCCAUUUAUAGCCGCGCUGGCGCCGGGCGCGGAUCCGGGGGAAGGAGGUCAGAGGUGGGUCCGCACGGGGUGCGGGUGCGGGUGCGGGUGUACCUGAGCUUCGGUGCGGAAAGUAUUUUGGCGAGUCGGGCAGGCAUGCACGUGAGGACAUGGCGGGCGGACACUGACCGGAUGGCCCCACGUCGGCGAAGAAGCCACCCGCUGGCCGGUAGGCAGUAGCAGCGCUGUAGCCUUGUUGUCCUCUCACCAACCCCACGGCCACCAACCCCCCAGUGAUGCUGGGCCCACUUCACCUAACAUUUCUCUCUCCAUCAUUUUCUUCCGUAUAACCGUGUAGUAUAUUCUGUUAUCAGUACUACGUUUUAUCAGUACAGUAGUAGUAUUUCUGUUAUUCAUUUUUCUCCUAGAAAUUUGCCAGCCUCAACCUAGAAAUGGAAAAUAAAAUACUUGCCUCACCUAUUAUCACCGGUUUACGACUUACGAGGUGUCUUUUACUCUCUCCAUUAUGAAUUAUAGAAUAAUUUCAGACUUUUCUAAAUUCAUAAUUUUUACUAUAUAUAUAAUGUUUAGAUACAUAGUAAAAUCUAUAAAUCUAUAAAUGCUAAAAUUUUUUAUAAUUUAGGAUGGAGAGAAUAGUUUCUUUAGGAGGAAGUUCAUUCCUUUUGGGGGCUAUGGUUGGUGGUUGUCAAUUGAAAGGGAGGAAAAAACGCUUUAGCGUGGCCGGAGACCGCAUCACUGUACGAUCAACUUUAGGUCUUGUAAUUGGCAAAAUUUUAAGAUUUUAGGUACUAUAGUACUUUUAUUUUUAUUUAAUAAAUAUUAUCCUAUCGUAGAUUAACUAGGCUCAAAAGAUUCGUCUCACAAAUUAUAGGUAAUCUAUGUAAUAAGUUUUUAUUUUCGUUUAUAUUUAAUACUUCAUACAUAUGCCGCAAUAUUUGAUGUGACGUAAAAUCUUAAAUUUUUGGUAAAACUUUUUGAGAACUAAACAAGGCCUUAGCAUUAUUAUUGUUAAUGCCUACAAAUAUAUGAAUUAUCCAAAAAAAGUAAAUAAUUUUCAAACAUUUUAAGUGGAGGUCAACAUGUUAUAUGGAUCAUGUGCUGUCCUGGACAGUGAGCAAAAUACCUUGUCACAGAAGCGUUACAUGCCUUUUUGGAAAUGCAUGAAAUGCAUUUUUUUUUCCUGCAAGAUUCCUGUGUUCAGAAUGGUGAUUACUGAUUACAAAAAAAAAAGGAAAGGUCAAGUUCAAUGAGAAAAACAAUCUCACGAUUACUUUUGGUGUCUGAUUAAUUUCUUGUCCUUGGGAAGUCGUUCUCAUGAGAAAAUUGUAGCACCAUCUUCCUAGCACGUGUAUGACUGUAUGUGCAUAUGUCGUGUUCUCGCAUGGUAGCAAAUAGGAGUUUAUCCUUUUUCCAAUUGUUUUUCUAUAGGUAUUUGAGCGGCAAGAAAAUGCAUAAUUAUUACUCUCUCUAUCCCAAACUAAAAGAUAUUUGAUUUUUUUGUUUUUAUUUAAAAAAAUUAUAUAAAUAUAGUUAAAUUUAAGUCAUUUUUAUAGAACUUUUACUUAUAAUCAAAUCAUGACAAAAGAAGUGAUAUUUUGCACAAAAAUUUGAAUAAGACAAAUAAUCAAAAUUAUGUUAAAAAGUUGAACGUCAUAUAAUUUAGGGCCUGUAGGGGCCUAAAAAACCCUCCUAUUUAUUCAAGAAAUAAUAAUUAGCAUGGAUUGAGUAUUAAUUUCGCAAUUGUUUAAUGAAGCAUGUUUCAAAAAGUCAAAGAUGCAUGCCUCUGACUCGAAGGACGAUUGGAGCACAGAAAGUCGCGCGAUUGCGCCUGCAUGAUCCGACCACUAUGGCCGCACCUCCUGGAUCUAUCUCCGGUUCUCCAUGGUUGCACUUGCACGUUGCAGAGAAGGAUUUUUUUUUUUAAACACGAUUCGCCUUGCCUUUGGUGUUUUUUUUUUCUCUCUUCUUUAUUUAAAUCCGAGUAGGGUGGUUGGCGCCUAAUCAGUACUCAUGAAAAAAAUAAUUUUUGCUGCAGAUUAGUUUUCUCGCCAAUAAUGCAAAAAUGAUGCAAGAAAAUAAACAAAAAUCGUACCGUCUCAUUUUUUGCAAAGAAAAUCGUACUGUAUCUCUUUUUUGUGUGAAGAAAAUCAUACUGUAUCUGCUAGUGCCAAGCAUGAGUUACACAUGUUACGUACCUCUAUAGAAAAAUACUUACGGUUGGUCAGCUGGUCUCUAACUUGUGAACAGUAAUAAAUAGGGAAAGGCAAAACAAAAAAAAACAAAAAAGAGUGUCCCAAAAGAACUAAGACCGAGACUGAAGUUCCUAAAAUUUUGGUUCUUGGUUUCUGGUGAUCCAAUUUUUAUCUCCUUGUUUCGACCUUAGGCCAGUCUCAGUGGAGAUUUCACCAGAAUGUCAUGCACAUUUAUUAGAACGCCAUGUCAGUAAAACUGCACUUUAUGCAUGAAACGAAGAGGAGAGAGAAGGAAGUAGUUUCACCAUGGUGAAACUCCGCGGGCAUUGUUUCCCACGCGGUGAAAUGAGAUGAAAUCCCCACUGAGGGCUAAAUCGUUUCACCAUCUUGCAUGUGAUCCAAUCAUUUUUGCAGUAAUUAAAUGCUUUGCCUAGCCUAGGAAACGUCAAGGUGAAACUCAUGCAUUGUGGAGGUUGUUUCAUUAUUCGUUUCAUUGAUGCCCUGUCAGCGGAUUUGUUUUGGAAAUAGUGCAUUGAAACGGGCCACUAAGACUGGCCUUACAUAUCUGGUAAUCCAAAACUUAAAUCACACCUCAACUAUGGUUCGUCUCCUAUCCGACAUCCUUAUCUGUUAUCCUAAAUAGGUGAAGACCCCAAUCUAGCCUCUCAAAUCUUUGCAUUCUCUCUUCCCGAUCCACAGCUUCAAUCCGAGUAUGAGAGGGCGGCAAGCAAGGACAAGGAUCCAUGAGGGCCAUGGCAAGCGGCUUGGGGCUCUGUGAAGGCUGUGCAUAUGUUCUGUGUGCCUGACACUCAGUGGCGAAGGUGGCUAUGGCAACAUUUCAAAUUGCUUUUGCAAUGAUGGACCAAGUAUUAGGCGAGGCGGGUGAGAGGUCCUUGCCAUGCGUAGCGCAAGAUUAGAUGUGGUUUGAUCUUGUGCUGUCAUGGCAACUGAUAAACGCCUUUCAGCAUGUGUCGAAAUUCCUCGAACGAGGCAAGUUAUGGUCUUACGAUGGUGGUGGUGACCCUCAUGAUGCCCAGUAUGGAUUGUCCAACUCCUUCGUCUCUUCCCUCCCCUUCCAUGUGCGGCCACACCUGCAAAUUGAGAUCCUAGCCACAUCGAUCGCCUUCGGUCGAAAAUGUGUGUAAACACCCUAGGUGUUACGUAAGUCCAUUAGCACUAAACAUGUAAUCAUUAACUGGAUAGUAUUAAGAUUAUGAUAAGAUUAGCUAAAGGGGUCUUGUUAAACAUGCAAUGUUUGUUGCCUUAGGUACCACCAAUUGGCAUGGUCCCUGCAGGAAGCAGAGGCUGUAGAGUUGGUGGAGAGAGGGGUCAUGAGGACAUGGAAGUGGAGCGGAGGUGCCAGGUCAAGAAAGUGGGAAAGGCAACACGAUCACGUGGUGGCUACUAUUGAUGAGACAAGUGGAACCAUAACAAAGAGAGAAGGGAGAAAGUGAAGUCAUAUAUGAUGGACAGAAAAGGCAGGUAAAAUUAAAAUAUAUUCAACUGUUCAAAGAAAAUUUAAACUUAACAUAUCCAUAGUGCAUACAAAUGUGUAUUCACAUCCAAAAAUAAAAUUCAAACUCGUAUUUAAAAAGAUUCAUACAAAAAUGAUAUUUUUUUUAGGUUCAAGUGCAAUAAAACACAAAAUUCCUGGUUUCGUCUUUAAGUACAAAUGAACCUCAUAUUUAUCAUUUUCGUUUGAACUUUUUUCUGGUUUAACUUCGUAACUCAACUUUUUUUUUUGGUGUCAGUACAUAUUUGUAUCCACCACCACAUUUUUUUGCUGAGGAACUAUAUGGGGGAUAAUGCUGCAGGUGGACGAAAGGGAUUCGGAGUCUGGGUUGUUGGCCAAACAGCACGCACGCACGAUUCAUGAGUCCGGACAAGGGAUAUGCCAUGGCGGAUUGGGGCGGCCAUGCGUCCGUGCACGCCGCUUUGGAGCGCAUGCCGGCUGACGUGUAGCAGAAUACGAUGCUGAACACACGCGCGGUUCAUGCCUGCACACCACCGCCACUACAUAAUAGGGAUCUGUCACACGGAAAAACAACAAUUUAAAUAAAAUAGCUUAAAUUCCAUUUUUGAAGGUAAUAACAAGAAAGACUAGCUGGGUAACCUGUUCAAGCCUAUGUAGAUAAAACAGAGUUUAUUGGAGGGUUUAGGGCUUGUUUAGAUGCAAAAUUUUUUUGGAUUUUGACACUGUAGCAAUUUCGUUUUUAUUUGACAAACAUUAUCCAAUCAUGGAGCAAAUAGGCUUAAAAGAUUCGUCUCGUGAUUUACAGGUAAACUGUGCAAUUAGUUAUCUUUUUUAUCUAUAUUUAAUGUUUCAUGUAUGUGCCGCAAGAUUCGAUGUGAUGGGGAAUCUUGUAAAGUUUUGGGUUUUUGGGUGUAUCUAAACAAGGCCUUAGCAUGCCUUGUUUAGUUCGCAAAAUUUUUCGUUUUUGGCCACUGUAGCACUUUCGUUUUUAUUUUAUAAACAUUCUCCAAUUACGGAGUAACUAGGCUCAAAAGAUUCAUCUCACAAAUUACAGAUAAACUGUGCAAUUAAUUUUUAUUUUUAUAUAUAUUUAAUGCUUCCUGCAUGCGACUAAAAAUUCGAUGUGAUAGGGAAUUUUGAAAAUUUUUUGCGAAGGCAUAAUCGUCGGAUGACUAGCUGAGCCCAUGUCGGUAGAAAGCAACGUCACUCCCCCGUGCUCUCUUCUGCCAUGACAAUCCGACACGCACGGUCGCACUGACCGACUGACGGUGCUUUUUUUUUUUACAUUCUCUCUUCAUCCGAGAUGAAAGCACCGGUAGUAGGAGUAGGAAGAGUAUCUCGGAUCUCUUUCCGAUGGAUUCUUGGGCCUUGUUUACUUUAUAUUUUUUUUACAAAACAGUAUUUUUAUUUAUAUUUGAUAAGUAUUGUCUUAUCAUAAAUCAAUUAAAUUUAAAAAAUUUAUCUCAUAAAUUAUAUAUAAAUUGUAUAAUUAAUUAAUUUUUAAUCUAUAUCUAAUGCUACAUAAUUUUAAAUCAUUUAGAAACAAGGCCAUGAUUUUUUGUCUUGCCACGGCAGGGUGGGGGAGGGAAGGUGCGGACCCCGCCAGAUCACGCAUCUGGACGGCAUGGGCGUCCAUGUUCGUCCUGGACCAGGACGUUAUUACAGUACUAGACUACUAGUCAAAUGCAGGUUGCCAGAUACUACGGAGUAUUGGUCCCGCGUAAAUUCUGGCGUAGCAGUGGUAAACCGUUGAUAAAAAGCAGAUGCCAGUACACAUGCGAUUUCCUGGUACCUUCUCUCAAUCAAAUCAAAGAAACAAACAAAAAGGAUUUUGGUGGUAUCCGUAUCAUAUCUCUCCUAUUAAGGCUUGUUUAGUUGUACCUAAAAUGAAAAUUCUUUUCAAAAUUUUUCAUCACAAUUGAAUAUUGGAGCACAUUAAAUAUAGAUAAAAAACUAAUUACAUAAUUUAUUUAUAAUUUACGAGACGACUCUUUUAAACUUAAUUAGUCUAUAAUUAGAUAAUAAUUAUUAAAUACAAACGAAAGUAUUAUAGUAUAAAAACUUUUCAACGCCUUAUCUCUCGUCUAGUCUGUAGAGAAUCAGAUCAGAGAGAUAAAAGAUUCCCGGUCAUCACUCCGGAGGUAUUGACCAUUUCAGAACCAUGUGUAGCAGGAAACACGAUCAUCCUAUCCUUUUCACAGAGAUAACUGUGGUUGAAAACUGUAUUAUGAAUUUGUGAUACACUAUGGCCUUGUUUAGUUCCGAAAAAAUUUCGGAUUUUGCUACCGUAGCACUUUCGUUUUUAUUUGACAAAUCUUAUCCAAUCAUAAACUAACUAGGACUAAAAGAUUCGUCUCGCGAUUUAUAAACAAACUGUUUUCGUCUAUAUUUAAUGCUUCAUGCAUGUGCCGCAAGAUUCGAUGUGACGGGAAAUUUUGAAAACUUUUUAGAUUUUAGGGUGAACUAAACAAGGCCUAUGGUUGAGACGGAAAAAAAAAAUAAUGCCACGAGAAUGGCACGGGUUGUCGACAGUUGGAGGACGUGGAGAUGGCAGGGCAGGUCAAGGAGGCCGGUGCAGUGUCGUGGCUCUUGCGGUGUGUGGGCAGGUCGAGCCUGCAUGUAGGGUUUCAUUCUAUUUCCAUGCUCGGGAGUUUUUUUUAUAUAUUGCAUAGGUAGGAGUUUUUUUAUCGAGGAAGGGUAUGGUUCUACCGGGUGCGGGAAUUUUUUUUACUGGGUGUUUUUAUGGAAGAUUUUUCUUGUUUCGGAAGAGAAUGAGUCGCUAGAUCAACGAUUGCUUUUGACGCUUUUUAUUCGUAGAAGAGAUAGCUAGAGAUGGAGAUACGUUAGCUCAUGGAAGAUGAUCGAGCCAUUAUUCCUGAGUGCAAGAAAUUUGGAAAAGCUGGAGAAAAUGAGAAAUAAAGGCAAAACUAUCGUUGUAUCAAGUUUCUCGUAACAAUACGAUGUACAUUGAAACAUUUAGUAAUCAUGUUGUUAUUUUCUGUUCUGGUUGCAAUGCACGAGAGCAUAAUCCUAAUCGCAGAAUAUAAAGACAAAACAAUCUGGUUAUUGCAGACCAAAGCAAGCGCACAUGAUAUGGCAUGGCACAUCGAUCAGGGCCGUACCUAAGAUUUGGAGGCCCCUGAACAAAAUAUAUAUUGGGGCCCUUAAAUUUGAGAAAAUCAAAUCGUACUUUCACUUAAUUAUAAAGCUAUAAAUUUAUUUGGGUCUUACAGAACUAAGAACAAAUUGAAUAUCUAAAAGAGUAUAAAAUAGUACUCAAGUAAUAAACAAGUAUCCUAACAGCUAGCAUAGCAGUCCGUGGCAUGAAAAAGCGAAAUGGUUUGAGCUUGUUUCAGUUUACUUCAGCCUAUUCUCUUUCACAGAAUGCUAUUAAAAUAACUGAAAUUAGCCGGCUCUUGUCAAAAAAAAAACUGGAAUUAUUAGCUGGCUUAUCAAUUAGCUGGACAAACCAUUACCAAGCAAACAAAUGGAUAUGGACAUUGGGGCUGCCUUAUGUUGUAUAGUUGAUCCAAUUAACAAACAAAGAAAUUGCAACAUGUAAACUCUUUUUAUAUGCUACAUUUUAUUUCUCUAUUUAAAAUAUUAUCUAUUAUUAGUUAGUUUUUAUUGUAAAUUUGGAGGCCCUGAGCAGUUGCACAUCUUGCACUUGCUAAUCUACGGCCCUGCAUCGAUUUCUUCCCAUUAGUAUUACGUGAAAGGCUGACAUGUUGGUAUAUUUUCGAUUCAACAGAUCAGUCUCUGGUCGAUCUGAUUAUUCGUGGAGCACGAUCUGAUCACUUUCACUAAUAAAUUAAAACUUAAAACUCAGUUCCUUGUCCUUGCAUUUAUGAUUGAGUGAUCAAUCUCAUAUAUUGUCUUGAAAACCCUACAGGAUCUGAACAAGGAGAAUGAACAAUUUGCAGGCAAUUCGGGGAUAUUGUUUGAUAAAUCAAAUCAAAUCAUGCACGUAUGUAUAGCAGCUGGAGUAAACGCAAAAAGUUCAUAUAUAUCAUAGAUAUAAUCGCAAUGCGUGAGGCACGAGCCAUUAAUCUAAUCUCCUUGCAGUCCCGUACUCCGAUCCCUGCCUGAGUAUAAAUACGGUUAUAUGGAAUCCCACUCUCUCGCCAAUCAGCUAGUAAGCAAUAGUAUAUAGCUCCUUCCACAAAUACUUCACUUUAUAGAUCAUGCCAAGUAAUGUCUAAUAAUUUAAAUUUGAACAUGUGUUAUACUCUUACUUAAAAACUAGUAUCCCCUCCGUACUCACAAGGAUUGUUAAGGCUUUGUCUAGUUUAGGAGUGAGAUGUUUCAUAGAAUGUCGGAAGAAUUAUUUGAAUAUUAAUAAAAAAAAUAAUUACAUAACUCGCCUGAAAACUGCGAUGAUGAAUUUAUUAAACCUAAAUAAUCUGUCAUUAGCACGUGUGGGUUACUGUAGUACUUAAGGCUAAUCAUGGACUAAUUAAGCUUAAAAGAUUUGUCUCACAAUUUCCAACCAAAUUAUGUAUUUAAUUUAUUUUUUAUAUAUUUAAUGCUCUAUGCACGUGUCCAAUAUUUAGUGGGAUGAGCGAAAACUUUUUGGGUGGAGAACUAAAUAAGGUCUAAAUAAAAAUAAAAGAUGCAACAUACAAUGGUUUUCUCAUCAUCGUUCUGCAGCACAUGCAUGCCUUUCGAGAUCGAAACUGCUAGCGCCCGGACGUCCGGCGCCAACAACGCGUCCGGACGCCGAGCUCCCCACCUGCGCCACAGAAAAGGAAAAAAAAAGAAAAUCCCAUCCACCCCUAACCAACUCACCUCUGCCCCACUCGUCCCGUCCGGAAGACCGUUCCUUGUCCGCUCCCUCCUAACCAACUUACCCCUGCUCCGCUCGCCCCGCACAGAGGACCGCCCCUUCGUCCGUUUCCCACGCAAGGAGCCCGUCCUCUGCCCCCACGAGCAUGGGAUCCGCCCAGCCCCUCGCUUUGUCGGCCCCUAGCAAAUCUACCUACCACUAACUCGUCCCUACAACCUGUCCCUGUACUUGGCGCUGUAACUCAAUAUGCAUAAUAGUGCAACAACACCUGACAUACUGCUACAACAAACAGGUUGAAGUAGCUGAAACAUCAUAAAUAUAGUAUUACAACAAACAACGAACAACUGCUGCAACAGCAUGCAAACAACUGCUACAACAUACAGAUUGAAGUAUUGGAUAGAAACAGCUGAAACACCAUAUGAACAUAGUAUUACAACAACAAAAAAUGACUGUUGCAACAACAUGUAACAACUAAUACAACAGCAUAGGUUGAAGCAUUGGAUGGAGCAACCGAAACACCUUAGACAUAGUAUUACAACAACAUCGACCAACUGUUGCAACAACAUGCAACAACGAAUACAACAGUGCAGAUUGAAGCAUUGGAUGGAGCAACUAAAACACCAUGGACAUAGUACAACAACAACACCGAACAACUAUUGUAACGACAUAAAACAAACUACUACAACAUGCAGAUUGAAGCAACUGAAACAACAUCUCAAAACACAAAACUGCAACAAUGACUAAAACCUACUGCAACGUCUAGAGAGAACCAUUGCAACAAUGACGAGAUCUGAACCCGAGAGCUCGUCGGAACCCUAUCCUACUGCAACAUCACCUGAAAAACAUACUGCAAAAAUCAAAGAACACCAUUACAACACGCGGGAGCACUGAAUCCCAAGAGCUCGCCGAAACCCUAGCCAACACAAUAUCUCAUAGAUCUAGAUCCAGAGGAAGAGGAGGAGGAGCAAGAGGUAGAAGAGGAGCAGAGGAGGGCUCAGAUCCAGAUCCACAAGAGGAGAGAGGGAAAAGGGAGAGAAAGGCUUUAGAUCCAAAUCCCUCCCCACCUACCUCGUCGGAGCCGCGUCGUUGUCUCCAUCUCCAGAUGCAUGGAGGUCACGAGAGCGAGGGAGAAAGAUCAGGGAGGAAGGGAGUUGCGUCGCACACUGGAAGCUGCCACCAUCGCGCUCUACUCCGGCGACAUGGAGGGCGUGUGGGUCGCAGCGGGGAGGGAGGGAUAAAAGGAGGGAGGAGCGGCUCGCCGAUGGCAUGGCAGAAGUGCAGACGCAUGGUGCGAGUGGUGGGAGUGGCACCAAGAUAUGAGAGAAGAGUGAGGAUGAAAUAAUGACUGGAUAAGAAGGCAUGGGGGAGCAGCAAAAUGAGUGGACAACAACGUCCGGACGGACGGACAACGUAUAUGUAUCAUUACCGUUUCGCGAUCCAAGGAUUUCCAGUGGCUGCAAACGCGCCGCUGCCUACAACAGUAAGAGGCACACAUCAUUUUAGAGUUUUGUCACUCUAGAGCUAACAGAUCAAACAAUAAUUUAUGAAAGCCAAUUAACCUCUGAAUUAGGAAACAAAAAGUAGCAAGGUAAAAAUAUGGCUCAAGGGAGAGGGAAGUUUUCGAGUGCUUGCUCUUGCGUAGCAAAGGGCACACUCACGCGUGUUGUGUGGGUCACCAAAUCGCAGCGGUGUCCUCGAAAUUACAAUUGGGACUGGAGUUGAGGGCGGAGUAGUUGCUAUGAACUCUGAUAUAGGUGUUGCUUUCCCAAGCCCGUUUGGUCGGGCUCCGGCUCCAGCUAAAACAGUUUUAAUUGUAGCUUCUACAAAGGAGUAGAUUCUUUAAAGAAGUUAGAGCUAUUUUAAGGAAACCUUUGGUAAAACAGCUUCGCCUUGUACCAAGAAAUGCCCAUAACGCCCUUCUCUUUUUUUCUUUCCUUUUUUAUUUCUCUUUUCUUUCUAUACUCUCUCUCAACCAUAUCGUAUUCUCUCUCUCCUCAUCUUCUCCCCAACAGCUCGCCUCCGCCUGGUUCCUGCAGGCCGCAGAACGCAAGGAAGAGCUGACGCUGUGCGCGAUGCUCGUGAGCCCGCAGUCCGGUGACCUCGCGCCUAGCGGCAUCGUAGUUUGGUGACCUCGCGCCUAGCAGCUCUGUAGUCUGGUGACCUCGCACCCGACGGUCACGUACUUCGGCGAGCCAAGCCCGGGCACAGCGUCGGUGACUGCACACUCGCCCGUCCUCCCCUUAUGCGCCUCCUUGACAUCGGGGGCAGACUCGACCUCUACACACUGGAUCCGCUUGUGUCUAAUCGAAGCUGGGUGAAGCUCCAUUUUCCAGCUUCACUUGCCACACUGUGCCUGUGUGAGCGCAAAACGCAGAGCUCCACUAGUGAAUCAGUUGAUUAAACAGGCGUUUGGGUGCAGGAGCUGAAAAACGACUCCCGGAGCCACGAUAGAACCAAACGACCCCUUGUUGGCCCUUGUGUGCGGCAUCUCCUCGGUGAGUCCUCGGUGCCGAUCACUGCUGACUUUGUCAUAUUGACAUGCUCCGUGCGUAGAGUUUAGCAUGCAGCCCACGAGCCGAAGACAUGGCCCAAAGCAUGAUGAUUUGACCUGGCCCGAGCAUAACAUGGCCCGGAUCCCAACCGUGCCCGUGCCGGCCCGAAGCACGUAGCGGGUCGUGCUUGGGCCGACCCCUCGGCUUGCCGGGCGGCACGGCCCGACCCGCUUUUAACAGCAGGCAUGAUGUUGACCCGGUAUCAGGAAACUUGUGAAACUGGAAGUAUCAAAUUCUAUGACUUCCGAAACUUGUGAUUUUUGACAUGUGAAAUAUGAUCUGUGAAGUAUAUUGUGUUAUGUGAAUUGUGAAGUAUCAAGGUCUGUGACUUGAAUGCGAUUUACUUAUGCUUUGUUGAAUUCUAUAUUAAAUCUGGUGUUUUUCAUAUACCGGGCCAUGGUCUGACCCGAUGGACUAUUGGGUCUCGUGCUCUUCGGGUCAGCCCGGCUCAAAAAUCGACCCACGUGUCGUGCCUGGGCUGUCAGGCAGGUACGGUGGCCUGUGAAGGCAUAAUCCGGUGGCAUGCGGGCCAUACAGACCGUGCCAUGCCGGGCCAGGUCGACCCAUUGCUCAACUUUAUCCGUGCGCAACCCCCUGGCCCUCGUAGACACUUUUACAAGGCAGACAAUUUUAACCAUUUUUGUUAAUAAAAACAACUGUCUCUAUGAAUCAUUAGACAUUUUACGAGACGGUUAAAUUGUGUAGUUAAUAAAAGGCAUUCGCCUCGCAAAAUUAUUCCUAUAAUAAUAUAUGCUGAGUUAUCUCUUGUGCCGUUGAAGUUGUUACUAAAUGUUUAUGUGCUACCUUGUAAGCUGGUAACCCAUCAACAGAUUGGGGUGUUCAUUACAUUUUUUUAAUGAAGGCAGGUGAAUGUCUUUGAUUAAAAAAAAGGUAAAUUCACGCAUGACAUACACGUGCAUCCAAAGUAAGCACAAGCGGUAAAGUUUAUAAUAUCUACUCGUUCUUAUGUGCUGCCGUGCCUGUUUAAUUAGACGAGAUAAUAUACCUACAGUGCUAGGCCCAUUGUGCUGCUUGCUGCAUUACCCGGGCCCAUUGUGUGCUGGACCAUAAUAUAUCAGUCAACAAAGCCCAACAGAUAAAGUUCACGCGCACAGUGGAUCCUCGCGAAUCUUCCGGUCCGAACGUUCGGACCGGAGCCUCCGUCCGAUGGUUCCCGCCCCUGUUUCCCGCCCCCGUUUCCCGCCCCCGUCCGACUUCUGUGGCGCGCUGGUCCUUUCUUCUGUGGGCCUGGACUGUUUCUUUUGUUCUCGCGGGCCUGGACUGUUUUUUGUCUUCUCGUGGGCCUGGACUAUUUUCCGCGUUUAUUAUUUUUGGGCCUACACUUCGUUUGACUGGUGGCUCUAUCUUCUCGUUUCCUCUCGACUGUUUCUUCUCGCGUCGGCGCUGGUCCAUUAUCUGUUGACUGUUUCCUCUCCCGUCGGCGGUGGCGAUUUCGCGUUUGCCUCUGACCGGCGUCGGCGGCGUUGGAGGCGGUCAGUUCCCUUUGUUCUCUCUCGGCGCCGGUGACUUCCCUUUGUUCUAUCUCGGCGGUGUUGGUUCAGCAUGCCCGUUGCUGUAUUUCUCUGGUGCUUGUUGUUCUCUUAGCUGUAAGUCGUUCUGGAUCUAUGUUUUUUCUUCCUGUUCUUCCUGCGAUUGAAUCCAUUUUUUUCAAUCAUGUAUCUGUUUAGAUUUAGUUUUUUCUAGUUGUUUGUUAAAAUGUUGUUUUUUUCAUAUUUGAUUUGAAACCCUAACUUAUUCUGUUGUACAAGAAAGUUAAGUUCGGCCAUGACUAACUUGUUUAUUAUAAUGUGUUAAUAACAUCUUCAACUCCUACCUGCUUAGUUGUUGGGGCAUUUCAAUUUUUACAAGAGAUUAGGAAGUGGCAAAUUUAUCAUAUUCACAAAUUUGGGACAUUUUAUUCAACUAUAGUUAUCCAUGAACUAGAAAAGAUAACUAUUUUUAUUCAAUACAAAUGUUCUGAUAUCCUAACUUUGAAAUUUAUAGUUUUAGUAUUAUUUUGAAUGUAAAGUGUAAACUGUUUUAAGUUUAUGUUUGUUGCAUACACUUAAGUAUAGCAGGUGAUGUUCUGUUUAUUAGUAGGUGAUGUUCUGUUUAUUAGUAGGUGAUGUUCCGUUCGUUAGUAGGUGAUGUUCUGUUGAUUAGCAGUUGAUGUUCUGUUUAUCAGGUGAUGUUAUGUUUGUUAGUAGGUGAUGAUCUGUUGUACAGUGUGAUGUUCUCUUAGUAAGCAUUUAGUGUACUGUUUUGGUUAUUAUGAUGUUCUGCUAUCAUAUUUCUUUUUGUUAUUUUAAUUAAUAAUUAAGUGAUAUUCUGUUAUGAUGUUUAUGAUUUUCUUUUAGUAACUAAAAAAUGUUUUUGCUUUGUUAUUAAUGUGUAGUACAAUAAUGGCUAAGCAAAAUCUUGUGAAGAUUCGUUGUUCAACAAGUCGGUUGAAGAAACUUUGUGAUGAUCUUUCAGAAAAACAAAAGUAUUUUGUUCGAGCUAAUGGAUUUGGUCACUUCUUGAACUUAUCUGUUUUCACAGUCCCUAUUCCUUUACUUGAAUGGGUUAUGAGGAAUUUUCAAGUUGGUGUUAAAGAGUUUCAGUAUGGUGAUAAACGUAUCAGAUUUACAAGAGCAAUGAUUCAGCAAGUAUUUGGUUUUAUUUGUGGUGAUACUCCAGUGAAUUUGGAAAAUGUUUCUGCAGAGUUGAUUGAGGAAGCACGAUUAGUUUCUGUUGAUUAUGUCAUUAAUGGCCGUAAACCAUCAAUUGCUGAAGCUGUGAGAUUGUGUUUAGCUGAAAACAAUGAAGAUGCUUUUAUGCGUUCUUUUAUGGUAGUGGCUCUAGGAACUUUGAUCUGUCCGAAUACUCAGAACUCUUUUGAUUUGAAUAUUCUUAGCUAUCUUAUGAGACCUGCAGAAAUAAGGAAUUAUGAUUGGGCUACUUUUGCAUUUGACUAUAUUAUACAAGAACUUCUACGCUUUCAAGAAAACAUUGCUUCUCAUGAUGUUCAUAUACGAAAUAACACUCAUUGUUAUGGCUCAUGCUUGCCAUUACUUGUGGUAAUUUCUUUUUUUAUAUUCUUGCUCGUUAUUUUUAUGUUUUUUUUACCUGAUUCUUAUGAAUUAAUUAUUUGUUUUUAGGUUGUCUAUAUGGAUUUUUUGGAUAUGAAUACAGAAUUUGGCAAUGCUCAUGUGAUAUCUUAUGCCUUACCCCGUUUCUGCCAUGUGAAAACUGAGGAUUUUUCUCUAGUUGUUGAUGCUGAUCAUGUUAGAUUUCCACUAUCUGAGAAUAGUGUAGAAUUUGGUGUUGUUCCGGUAAGUAAUAAUUUAUUAAUCAUGAGCUGUUUUUGUCUUUAUUAUUAUCUAAGGUUUUCUCUAUCUUUGAUUUUGUUUCACUUUUGUAGUUUCGAGAUAUUUCACACACACCAUAUCAUUUACCUCUUGAUAAAAUUGCUUCUAUAGCCAACUUGAUAAAGGCUCAUAAUCCUAUUGACAAUGAUAAUGAGACUGAUAUUUCAAUAAGUUCUGAACGGGAAGAAGCUUCUUCUGGUAAUAUGAAUUCCUAUGGAGCUAUUCGUUGUGAUGCUGCUUUUGAUGUAAGCAUUUUAUUUUACUGUAAAAUUCAUAUAGAGAAUAAGCACAUUUGUAUUAUUUGUCUAAUUGUUAUUUUUUUUGUAAAGGUUCCUAAUUGCAUUGAACCAUUAGUUCGGAAGCAUUAUGAGCAACUACUCUCUGAGGUCAAUUCUUUGGUUGUUGAUGGUCAAUCUACAUCAAUUACUGCUGAAGAAUGUUUGGGUUCGGUAUUUUCAAAAUGCUUGGCAUCUCUUUCUUCUGAUGUAUUUUAUUUUCGAUCAUCUUCCAAUGCUAUUACUUCUACAGAAGAGCAACAUACUUGUUCCAAGAGAACGGUACUUUUCAUUUUUAUGUAUAUUUUCUUUAUAGUUGUCAUGUUCUUGUUUGGUUUCAUUGAUGUUCUGUUAAUCUUUCAUCGUAGUUCCAUGUAUCUUUCAUAAUCUUUAGAAUUUGUAUUAUCUUUCAUAAAUGAAUUAUUACUUUGUUAAUGAUGUUGCCAACUUUUUCUUAUUCAAAGUUGAAGUUUUGACAUUUCUAGAACAUAAGUUCAGUACUUAACAUGUUCCUACAAGUUUUAAAUAUCACAACAUCAAGUUUUAAAUAAUUCAUGUUCUAUUCUAUUAUUAUUGUAUUAAGAUUAUUGAAAUCUGACUUCAGAAAUGUUGUUCUUUAAUUGUUGUCAGACACAUUUGGCAAAUAAGGCGCAAGACAAAUCUAUUGUUCAUGAAAUGCACACGCAUGAUUCUAAAGGUUCUGAGAAUGGAAAAUCUGAAUUUCAUGAAUCUACUUCAAAUAGUAAAGGUUUUUCAACUUCUACCAUUCUAGCAAAUAUAAUUGAAGUUUUAUGUGCUAUAGAAAAUGCAGUGUGUUAUGCUUAGGGUACUCAUAUGUAGUUGUUGUAUAAUCUUUUACUCCUUAAUUUAUUUGUUUUUAUAUUGUAGAUAUUCUAAAGCGGAAAUGUUCUAAUGUCAUUUAUAAGAGGAAGAAAAAGAAAGCAACUGCAGAAAUUCCUGAUGAUUCUAUUGUCAUUACAGCAGCUAGUUACAUCUCAAGUAUAUAUAAUAAAUAUAUUCGAGAUGACUUCAUGCAUGAUAAGGAUUUUCUUCAAUCGUAAGAUUCUUCUUAUAAGUAAUUACUUUCUAAUUCUUCUUUCUAUCUUUGGUCAAUGAUUUACUGAUUUAAAUUUUUUUAUAGAUCUCCUUUUGUUAUUAUUUCUGGCUUUCACUCAACAUAUGAAAACUUUCGUCAGUCGUUAAAGCCUAGAGGACACAUCAUUGAUGACGUGAUGGCUCUUUUUGGUGAAUCAAUUAAUAUCACUAGGAGCCAAUUAGCUGAACCCAGAAUUGAUAGGGCCAAGAUAUGUUUCUCCCCUUUCUUAGUUGUAAGUUCUGUUUGCUUAUUUAUAUUUUGUUAAUUAUGUACCAUAUAUUUUCUAAAUAUGUGUUUUAUAUAUUAAACUUUACAGCAAAAGCUUGUUCAAAGACCUCAAAAGUUUGAAGUUGAGUGUAUUCAUAAAGAAAUGUUACAGAUCAAUAACGAUUAUGACAUUGUUGAAGCUGAUCUUGUAUGUUAUAUUUCAUUCAUAGUCAUCAAAAGUUUCAAGUUGAGUUGUAAGAUUCUUAUUAUUCUAUGAAUUAAUAUUCUUUUCUUUAUAUUUUUUAUGCAGCUUUUUUUCCCAAUUUGCACUCAAGACCAUUGGUUCCUUCUCUGCGUUAAUUCACUACAAAAAGAGAUCAAUUUUUUCUCAUCUUCCAGUAUUCCUUGUGCUAAAGAUACAAAUUGUUUCAUAUCUAAUUUGGUGAAUUCCUUUUUCAUCAAUUAUUUAGUAGAACUCUUAUUAAUCUUCUAUGUUCUAACAGUUUCACAUAAAAACUUUUGUACUAAUAAAUUUUCAGGUUACAAAUUUCCAAACAAGUUGCAAAGAAUGUAAAAUAUUUGAUAGGGCAUUACUUCAGUAUGACAAGAAGAUCAUUGAUUGCCCUCAACAGUCUAAUAAGUAAUGGAUUACCUAUAUUAAUUCUGUAUAUGAGAAUGUUUUAAAUUAGUAUAAUAUAAUUUGAUUUUCUGUUCAUUUUUUUGUAGUUUCGACUGUGGCCUCUAUGUGAUGAUGUUCAUUGAACAUUUUGAUGGCAUCUCUCUCAAGAAAUUCAAGCCAGUAAGUUAUCAGCUCUACAUUUGAAUUUAAAUUUCUUCUCUUUCAACCAUUUUUCAUAUAUUCUGUUGUAAAUAAAGAAAAUUUAAAAACAAGUUUAAAAUUAAAUUUUAUUAUUGUUUUAUUUUCUAAUGUUUUCUUUUACAAUUUAACAGAGUGAUGUUGCUGAGUUUCGGAAGGUCGUUUCUUAUAAACUGAUGAACCAUGUAAACAAUGAAGGUGUAAUUCCAAAUAUGAAGGCUGAGAAGAUGUUUUUAAUAGACUGAUGUUCCAGAGUUCCCUGGAACCUGCUCUUAGUGUUUUUUGUACCAGAAUUGUUCUAAUUAUUACCACUUCACUGUGAUGUUCAAAUGUAACAUACAUGAUGUUCAGACGUACUGUGUUUGACAUUUUCUGUAACGAGCACUGAUCUUCUGACAAUUGUGAUAUUCUCUUUUGAAAAUUUGCUCAAGAGAAAUGUUGUUUCAUAUAUCUGUGAUGUUUCUGCACACGCUUUUGAUAUAUUUUGUAGUUCGACAGACUAUAAGACAAAUAUAAUGUUCACGAUAUUCAAAAUACAUGUUCUAUUGUAUAUAAUUCCAAGUUAUAACUUUAUAUAGUAUGUAGAAUUUCUUUAUAAAAUAAUAUUUUUAAUUCUUCCUAAUUUUUUAUUUGAAGUUGGUACUGUUUUAAAAAAUAAAAUAUAUUUUCAUUGUUAUGCACAUUCAAAAAGUAAAAUAUAUUUUCAUUGUUAUGCUAACACUUUCUUGUGGCCUCAAAAAGUUUUUUCAAAAUAUCAAAAUUAUUGUUUUUCAAUAUAUAUUUUGCUUUUUUUGUUGACCUAAUUUCUUGUAUUGAUUUUUAUCAAAACGGAACUUAGAAAUGUCCUAUUUUCCUCUGCGGGCCCAUUUUUCUACCGGCCCAUUUGCUAGCCCAUUUGUGCUCUUUCUUCCCCACUCCACCAGGACCGUAACGGAGUGGCGGUUCUUUCUUUUUUCUGAGUACUUAUCUGUUUCAUCUAUUACUCUUCAUUUCUCAAAAACCACUAUGUUGUGUUCCUGAGGGACGGCGGUUCUGGAGUGCGGCGGUGAGCGGUGGUUCUGGACCGCUGCCCCUCCGGCGGUUCUCGAGUGGGGCGGUGAGCCGUGGUUCGACGCCUGUUCUGAAUCGCCGUCGAAGCAUUGGUUUGUGCGCCGCCUUUUCGCCUUUUUUUAUCAGUCGUUUUCUCCCCACCAUUGAUUCGGCGACUGAGCGGUAGUGCACCGGCUCCAUUGAUUCUCUACCCGUUCUUCUCCAGAUCCAGGUCCGAAUCGCUGAAGAACGAGGAGGACAACUCUGUAGAGUUGAAGGUGAGCAAUGGCGACUUGUAUUAAUUAUUUUCUUUUUUUCUCAAUUCCAGUCACGAUCUUUAUAUUGACUAAAAUUCAGAAUUCUUUAUAUUGAUUUGUAUUAUUUUGUCCAUUCCCUGAUUCUUUUAGAAUAUUGCUCUUAUUCAUUUUGUUAUAGAAAACUAUACUCCAGAGUUGUAUGUUCCAAUGUUGUUUUAGAGUGAAAUUUAUUAUGUAAUUUUCAGACUUGGUAACAUAUUGCAAUUGUAAAUUUAGAACUUGAGUUCCUUCUAACAUAUUAGAAUAACGUCACUGAAAUAUAUUAAUAUUUCUUUGUUCUCACAAAUCUAAUCUAGUGUUCAACUAUAUUGUACAUUAUGUCCUCUGUCAUAUUCUUCAGUAUUCUCUUUUUAGUUUAAAGAAUGAUUUCAUGAGUUUUAGUCAUACAAUAUAGAUCUGAUAUGCAGCUACGUUCUGAUGGAUGUUCUCUGUAUUGUUGUCUUUUUUUUUUCUUUUUAUUUCCUAUGUGCUUUCUUUUCUUUGUUCUAUCAAUAUCAAUGUCAUGUUCCAGUACUUUAUACUUAAUGUUCUUUUACACAAUCUGUGGUUAAACUUGUAGUCAAAAUGGCAAGACAAGAUCGUGUCAAGAUUCGUUUUUCAACAAAACGAUUACAGAAUCUUUGUGAAAAACUCAAUGAAGAUCAAAAGAAUUUUGUCAGAGCUCAUGGUUUUGAGAAUUUCCUGAAUUUAUCAAUUUUCACGGUUCCUAUACCUUUGCUAGAAUGGAUUAUGAUUCACUUUCAGUGUGGAGUUAAGGAAUUCCAGUAUAGGGGUAAGACAAUCAGGUUCACAAAACAAAUGGUUGAACAAGUUAUUGGUUUUACUUCUGGUGAUAUUACAGUUGAUCUGAGCAAUGUUCCUCCUGACCAAAUAGAGGAAGCUAAGGCUUAUAAAGUUGACUAUGUGAUUGGGAACAGUAAACCAUCUAUUGCUGAGGCUAUUAAGUUGUGUCUUGCUGAGCAGAAUGAAGAGGCAUUCAUGCGUUCCUUUAUGAUUGUUGCUCUUGCAACUAUAGUUUGUCCAAAUACUCAAAAUUCCUUUGAUUUGAAUCUUUUGAGUUAUCUUAUGAGACCUGAACAGAUCAGGCACUAUGAUUGGGCUUCGUUUUGUUUUGACUACAUCAUAGAAGAAGUUGAUCGUUUCCAACGAAACAUAUCAUCCUCUGAAACUCAUAUACGCAAUGGGACACAUUGUUAUGGAUCUUGCUUGCCUCUGCUUGCGGUAAUUAUUUUUCAUACUUUGUUAUAAACUUUUGCCAAUAUGAAUGAAAAUAGUACAUGAUUAGAGCUCUUUUAUUUGUUACUAAUGCAUUUGACUGUUUUUUAUCAAAUUAUUAGGUUGUGUAUAUGGACUUUCUCGAUUUGAAUACAGGAUUUGCCAAUCAUCAUGUUAUAUCUUAUGAUCUACCCAGAUUCUGCCAUGUCAAAACUGAAGAUUUCUUAUAUAUUGUUGAUGCUGAUCAUGUUCGUUAUCCAGCAUCUGAUCAUAUGAAGUUUGGAAUUGUACCAGUAUGUUUGCAUUCUUUGUAUGAUUUUUUUUCUUAGUUUGUAUUUUUUUCAAUUUUCUAUAUAUUAAGGACUUAUUCAAGUUAUUCGGUUUUUUGUAGUUUCGGCAUUUCAAUGACACACCAUAUCAUGUAGUUGUGGAUGAUAUUGGUGGUGGAGGCAAUUUCAAUGAUCAAGCAGAUGAUCCUAGAGAUAACUUCAAUGAGCAAAUACACCAUGAUAUUCAGCUUUCUUCAAAUGAUGAACUACCAACAAGUUCUUCUCAUGGCUCUCCUAUUCCUCCUGUUGCUACCCUUGAUGUAAGAUUUCAAUUUAUAAUAAUUCUUUUAAAGUAACAAGAUCAUAAUUGUUUAGUAUUUAAUUUAUCGCUUUUUUACUUUUUUAUUCUAGGUUCCUCCAUGUAUUGAACCUAUAGUUCGCAACCAUUAUGAGCAAUUACUCUCUGAAGUAACUUCUGCACUUCUUAUUGCUGAAUCUUCAUCAGUUUCCCUACCAGAAGUUUUGGUUCCAGUCUUUUCUAAAUGUUUGACAUCACUCUCUUGUGAUGUAUUCAAAUUUGCAUCAUGUUCUACUGUUACUACAAAUAUCCCAGAAGAACCCAUUUCUACUUGUGCACAUGAUCAGGUAUAUUUAUUUUUAUUCAUGUCAUUUACAAUACAUAUUGAUAUGUAUGUACACUUGUAAUAUUUCAAAUCUUUUUUUUUAUUUUUCUAUAUUAUGGUAGGUUAUCCUGUUUAAAAAUAUAGUUUUCUAACUAUCAACAUUUUUAUAUUGAAUUAUUGCUGUUUUCAAACUUUGUACAGUAUGUUCAAAUAGUUAAGAUAUGAUCUUCUCUGUUAUAUUAUUUGAUAUUCUCUUUUAUACUAUUAAAUGUUCUUUUAACACAAACAAAAUAUUACUUUUGCUAAUGUUUGCAGACCACUUUUGAAACAACUGUGGCUGAGAAAUCUAUUGAUUCUACUCAAUCUGAUCCAAGGCCUCUUCAACCUAUAAAGGUUCUCUAUUUUCUCUAUGCUACAUUUUUUUUUAUAACUCAUGCUUACAUGUUUUCAAUUAUAAUAUGUAUUUCUAUUCAUAUCAUUGCCAGAACAAUGAGAAAAAUAAAGGAGGUUCUAAUGUUCAAGAAAACAUGGAUGAUGACUCGCGAAACAAACUGCAAGACUCUGAAAGGAAAGAUACUUAUUCAAAUACUAUUCAUGAUCCAUUGCCUAAUGUAUCUAUCAAUGUUCCUAGUUCAUUGGAAGCUUUAAAGGUAUAUAUUUUAAUUUGUUGUUCAACAAAUAGUUUUCCUAAACGAAUAUACUCUUUAAUUACUAUUCAGAAUGUUUAAUCAUGUUCAUGUUUCAUUUCUUUGUGGUUCUUAGAUAAUGUUCUAGUAUAAUAUAACCUGAUGUUCUUAUACAUUGAAGCUCAUGUUCUACUGUGUUAUUUUUGUUGUUCUUCGAUUCCAAUAUCAACUGCACUCUUGUGUUUUACAGUUGCUACUAUAGAUUUGAACUUAGUUUUAGUAAAUUUAUUUUUGUAUAACGUUUUCAACAAUUAUUAUUUUGAUAAACCUAAUUUCACUCUUAUUUAAUAUCCUAGACUGAUUUGGAAACCAAAGAAGCUGAGAUAUCUCAAGAUUGCUCUGAAUCUCAACAACCUUGUCUUGGUGCUACAAUGGUAUCUCAUCUUCUCAUACUCUCACAUAUGAUGUUUUAUUUUUUAUUUCAUUUUUCUUGAUAUAUUUUUCAAUGGUCUUGUUUUUUCAUUGAAGGGUAUUGUGAAAAAUUAAAUGUUCACCUUUUUAAUAUCUAAUGUUUUUAUAUUAAUAUAUAAUUUUGUACUAUAGCCAAUUGUUAAUUUUAAAUGAAUCUAUUUCUAACUAUGUUUUGUUCUAUUUCAUUCUUAGAACAUUGAUAAUGUGGCAUUUAAUCUUGGUUCAUUUUCUAUUGGUGAUGCUGGUUCUCAAGUAUCACACAAUCUUCCUCAAACUUGUCCAAAUACUGCUACCAUUGUGCUAUAUUUUAUAAUUUUUUUAUUAUGCAAGCAUAUUUUCUUUUCUAAGUUUUUUACUUUGUUAAAUCAUAUUGUUUGUUUUGCUUAAAUGAUAAUGUUUGCUUCAAAGGUAGACCCUUUUUCAUAGAAAAAAUAUUUUUCAAUAUUUCUUUUUCUUGAUGUCAUUUACAGUACAUAUUGAUAUGUAUGUACACUUCUAAUAUUUCAAAUCUGCAACACAUUUUUUUAUUUCUCUAUAUUAUGUUACGUUGUGCUAUUAAAAAUAUAGUUUUUUUUAACUAUCAACAUUUUUAUAUUGAAUUAUUGCUGUUUUCAAACUUUGUACAGUAUGUUCAAAUAGUUAAGAUAUGAUGUUCUCUGUUAUAUUAAUUGAUAUUCUCUUUUAUAAUGUUGUAUGUUCUCUUAACACAAACAAAAUAUUACUUUUGCUAAUGUUUGCAGACCAUUUUUGAAACAACUGUGGCUGACAAAUCUAUUGAUUCUACUCAAUCUGAUCCAAGGCCUCUUCAACCUAUAAAGGUGCUCUAUUUUCUCUAUGCUACAGUUUUUUUUAUAACUCAUACUUACAUGUUUUCAAUUAUAAUAAGUAUGUCUAUUCAUAUCAUUGCCAGAACAAUGAGAAAAAUAAAGGAGAUUCUAAUGUUCAAGAAAACAUGGAUGAUGACUCACAAAACAAACUGCAAGACUCUAAAAGCAAAGAUUCUUAUUCAAAUACUAUUCAUGAUCCAUUGGCUAAUGUAUCUAUGAAUGUUCCUAGUUCUUUGGAAGCUUUAAAGGUAUAUAUUAUAAUUUGUUGUUCAACAAAUAGUUUUCCUAAACGAAUAUACUCUUUCAUAUCUUUCUGAUUCUUAGAUAAUGUUCUAGUAUACUAGAACCUAAUGUUCUUAUACAUUGAAUCUCAUGUUCUACUGUGUUAUUAUUGUUGUUCUUUGACUUAUUCUUGAUAUGAAAGAGUAUAUUUAAUCAGUUUCUCUUAGUAGUGGAAAGGUAUAUACUUUUUUUGUAUCCAAUUUUUGAGUCAUAGGAAUCUCUUUCAUGACAGCAAUUUUGUCAUUUUGUUUUGCUCUUAUUACUAGAACAAUGAAAAUGAUAUAGAUGAUGUGAAUCUUGAAGAUUCGACAAAGGAAACUAGUCAAUCUGAUGACUCUACUUCUACAAAAGACAAAGGUUGUUCUACUGGUACUGUACUAGGAAAUAUUGAUGCAGCUUUAGCUGGUAUUACAAUAGCGAUGUCUUUUGCUGAGAAUACUCCUGUUAAGUCUGUAGAUUCUUUGCAUUCUCAAAAGUCUGAGUCUCCAGUAUCUGGUAAAUAUUCCUUGUUUCUACAAUUUUUUCAGUGUUGUUUUAAAUUUUGAUUCCAAUGCUACUUUUUCAUAAUUUUUUGUUUCAGUUUGCAAGUAUCCAGUUUGCAAGUUUAUACUUGAAUUGUCAUUUCUACAACGACAAUUGAAUGUUAAUUUUAUUCAUGUUGUUUUUUCAUAAUUUAUGAUCUCUUAUCACUAAUACCAAGAAUUUUAUUUUUUCUUAUUCUAGUGUCUAAGAAGCGUACUCGAUCUAGCAUUAUUGACAAGAAAAAAAGGAAGAAACGAGCUGCUAUAAUGUUAGACAAUUCAAUUACAAUAAAAGCAGCUCGCUAUGUCUCAACUACUUAUAGUAAAUACAUUCGAAGCAAUUUUAUGCAAGGCAAGGAUAUUGCAGAAUCGUAAGUAACUUGUUUUCUAAAAAUCAUUUAUUCAUAUAUCUUUCCAUUUGUUCUUUCAUGUUUUUAUUUUAUUCUUUGAUAUGUUUAAUUUUUUUGUGCAGAGCUGCUUUUGUUAUAAUAUCUGGUUUCCACUGCACAUACGAAGCUCUAAGAAAUUCGUUGAAGCCUAGAGGUCAUAUAAUUGAUGAUGUGAUGUCUGUCUUCGGACAGUCAUUUAAUAUGAGCAGUAAAUCAUCUAGUGAUAGCAGAAUCUCUAGGACUAAGAUAUGUUUUUCUCCAUUCUUAGGGGUAAGUUUUCCUUCUUUUUUUAAACAUAUAACUAAUAAAGUUUUGUUUUUUUUUUGUGCUGGCUUAUUCAUUUUAUCUACUAACUUUUCAGAAAAAGUUUCUUGAAACUCCUGAAAACUUUGAUCCUCAACGUUUCAAAAGAGAACUUCUGCGAAUGAAUAAGGAUUACGAUAUUGUGAAAGCUAAUCUUGUAUGUUAAACUAUGAUUGGUACUUGUAUUUUUUUUCUAUUUUUACUUCUUUUGAAAUUUCCUUCAAUUCUUUUUUUUGCAGCUGUUUUUCCCAAUAUGUGAUGAUGAUCAUUGGUUUCUUAUUUGUGUUAACUUACUACACAAGGAAAUCAACUUUUUUUCAUCUACUAAUUCUCCAACUACUGAUGCUAGAGAUACUUUCAUUACAAAUGUGGUAUAAUUCUUUUGUUGUCCUUAACUAUUAUAAAUAUAUUUAUAUUGUUCUUUCUUUUCCUGUGUCAUUGUUCUUAACUAUUAUUAUUAUUUUGUGUAAGGUUUCAAAUCUGCAAAGAAGUUGUCAGGUAGCUGAUAUAUUUGACAGGCCAUUAGUUGACUAUUUGAAGAAAUUUCCUCAAUGUUCUCAACAGUGUAACAAGUAAUUUUUUAUUAAUAUCACUUUACUUUGGAUUAUAUAAAGUUUACUAUAUUAUAAUUGUUUUUUAAUUUUUUCUUUCAGUUAUGACUGUGGCCUUUAUGUAAUGAUGUUUAUUGAACAUUUUGAUGGUAGAGUUCUGAAGAAAUUUAAGAAUGUAUGUUUCCCUACCUCUUCUUUUAUUCUCUUAGUAUUAUUUUAAGAAAUUAAGAAUUUAAGAAUCUUGUUAUUAUCACUGUUGUUAUACUUACUCUAAUAUAGUCUAAUAAUUCUUUUGUUGAUUUUUUUGAUAGGCUGAUGUUGCUGAGUUCCGCAAGAUCAUUUCACAUAGACUGAUCUAUCAUGAGAGCAAUGAAGUUCAAAUUAGUCAAUUUGAUACAUAGAUUAAUCUUCCAAUACUAUUAUCUAGAGGACACAAUUGCUGUAAUUAUUCAUACUUUCAUCUGUUUUGUGUCUGUUACACAAGACAUAGUGAAUGUUCCUAAUUUAAACGUUCCAUGUUAUCACGGUCUAGUUACACUUCUUUAGUCCUAAGCAUUGAUGUUCUGUGCAACCAGUUCUAAUGUUCUGAAUAUACAUAUCUGAUGUUCUGCCAGUUGAGAUGUUUUGUCAUGAGAAAUGCGUUGAGUUUUUUAUAUAUUAAACUACUUCUUAAAUCAGCGAAAUCAUAUUUUGUUCUCAUAUUAUGAUCAAAUUUGUAUUCAAUAUAGAUAAUAUCAACUUUGUUGAAUAAGAUACGAUCAGAAGUCAAUAUUUAAUACGUUUGCAAAAUAUAUGUACCACUUUCGUCCCUUCUUCUAAACAUUUUUUUUAAUAUUCUGUUUUCAAGUUUGUAAUGUUCUAGUUUGCUAAACGUAAUCUUCUAAAGACAUAAUCUUCCAGACCCAAAAGUUUUACAAAAUUAAUAUCAUUUGUAUAUAAAUAAAUGUAUCUUCAAAUUAAAUUUUGUGUAUAGUUUUUACUAGUAUAUUAUAUUUACCUCUUCUUCAAUAUUUUGAAGCACGAAUUUUUCAUAAUUUCAUAAUUACUAAUUCAUUGAUUGCACCUAUGUAACAAGUAAUACUCUAAUACUAAUUAAUUUCUGAGAGCAUGAAGUUUUCUUUGUUAGAACAUUAUAAUCUAACAUCAUAAUACCAUUGAAUAAAAUUGUAUUUUGACAAAAUUACCCCUAUGUUCUGUCUUUCUUAGCCAUUCAUUUUGGCAAAGGUUCUCGGCUCUUUCAUAUACUCGUAUACGGCGAGGGGUGAGAGAAGAACUGUUCGAAGCAACGCGAAUGCGGAAGCUCUGUUCGUACUAUACGUUCGCUAGAGAACUCUAGACGCGCCCUCUACUGUUUGUCCUGCCGCCACUGCAGGUGAUUCUUUCAGUGUUUCUGUUUCUAUUCUCCAAGAUUUAGGGUUUCUCCGGCGCCUUUUGUCUUUGUUGUUUCUUAGGGGUUCUUCAUUUAAAUCAGAAAGAUUUCUAUUCCAUGGAUCCGCCAGCUCUAUUUGUAUUUAUGGAUUUCUAUUCAUGGAUUUCUAUUACUGGAUCCUUAGAUCCAUUCUGUUUCAAUUCUUAUGAACUUCGUCUUCUACAAAUUUUGAUUUUUCUAUAAUUUUGUUCCGUUGCUGGUUUUAUGAGUCUUAUCCUUUGCACGACAGCUGGUGAUAAUCAAAUCUUUUAUCUUUCUCAUGCAAUUUUGAUGUCACAAUAUGUGGACAUGGGUAAUACUCAAUAUACCCUGGGUUAGUUAUAGCUUUUUUUAGAUGUUUAUUUUGCCAAAUUGUAAAUUUUGUACUCCUUUACAGUAUUUGAUCCCACAAAAGUCAUGAUCUGAAUGUUUUACCAAUUCACAAAAUAAAAAUUGUGAUUUCAGAAAUACUUAUUUAGCUUAGUUUUUUUUGUUUAAUUAUACAACACUAUUAAUGGUUUUUUGCCUUUUCUUUGCUAUGCACAAAGUAUCCUAAAUUCUUUCAGCAUAAUUAUUUUUAGUUGCACAUGAGGAGCUUAACUUAUUGAGGUCUAAUUAUAUUUUUUUUGCUCAAUUUAUUAGAUAUGAAUAUUGCUGAUAAUCAUGGUGGAAUUAUAAUUCAGAAUUAUUUCAACUCACAUGUACUCAAUGAUGUUGUUAAUUCUCUAAGUAAUAUUCAGAGACAUUAUAUUGUGAAACAUGGAUUUGAAAGCUUCUUGAGCAUCAAUUCUUUUGAUGUCCCUCUGGGCCUUGUUCAAUGGAUUAUUCAGCAUAUACAUAUUCCCUCUUUUCAAUUCCAGCAUAUGAAGAAAAAAAUUCAGAUUACUGCUUCUAUGGUCAAUCAUAUUUUUGGUUUCCCAUCUGAAAAAAUGUCUGUUUCCACUACCAUUAGUAAAGAUUCAUCAAGUUCUAUCAAGAUCCUUAAACAGCAAUAUAUUGCUAAUGGAAUGACAACAAGGCAAGGACUUAUAGAUACUCUACUUCAUAAUGAAGAUGAAGUUUCGUUCAUUCAACAAUUUGUUAUGCUCUCAAUUGAUACAGUCCUAUGUCCUGGACUGCAAAAUCAUCUUAAUCUGGACUAUCUUUGUUGUGUUGCUGAUAUAUCCAAAAUCAAAUCCUUCAAUUGGAAUUCUCAUGUGUUACAUUACUUGGGAUUAGAAAUUCUAAAAUUUCAGGCAUAUAUUGAUUCAUAUUCUGCUGGAUAUCCUUCAACUAAAAUCAAUGUUUGUGGUUGUGUUCCUCUUUUAGCAGUAAGUAACUUUCUUUUUGUUUGAACUAUUUUUUCUUUUUUCAUAUUAUGUUUCAUCAUCUAAUUAUUUCCCCCCUUUUUAGAUUGUAUAUAUGGAUUUCUUAGAGAUCAAUUUAAGUGAUUCAGGUUAUGCUCUUUCAUAUGGACUUCCUAGAGCUUCAUAUGUUUCAACAGAAGAUUUCAGUUUAAUUUUGUCUAUUGAUCGAAAUGAAGCAUACCAAUCACAUGAAGUUUAUGGAUUAUCAAAGGUUUUAUGCAUUUUUUUUUGUAUUUUCUCUUUUGUUGUUCUGCUACUAUACAUUACAUGUUCUGUGGUAUUGUUUUUGUUGUUCACUUCUCUAUUUGUUGAAUAUCUCAUUGGAAAGUUUUGAUUCUUUAUUUUCAGUUGCUCCCAGUAUCAUUGACUCCUUACUGCUCAAUUACAAAUAUAUCAAGCAAAACAAAGAAUGAUCUUGUAAGCUCUCAUGUACUAUUACAACCUAUUGAAAUAUAGUUUGUACCUAAUUAUAUUCUUAUUAAUUCUAUAUCUUCUCAGGUUACAAAAACUAUUGGAUAUUAUUCUGUUGCUUUUAAGGCUAGAAAGAACAAGUUUAUAUCAGAUCAUUGCAUAUCUACAAUGCUCAGCAUAAGUGAUGAUGUUGAGCACUUAUACAGAACAUAUGUGUCGAACAACCUUGAGAAAAAUCAUUUGGAUAAAUCGUAUGCAAUCUCUUAUUUCUUCUUUAGCAAUUGUUUUUUCUAUAUUCAAAUCUUUUAUCUUCUUACUGUUUCAUUAUCUUCAAUUUUCUGCAGCUAUGUAUUUCUUUCAAUAUUUGGAUUCGAUUGCGUAUACCAGAGGUUUAGGGAUUCACUUAGGCCUUCUGGAGAAGUGUAUGAUGACUUCAUGGCAAUAUUUGUGCAACUGUUUAAUUCUUCGUACUUGGAUGUUAUUGCCUGUCAUAUGCCUUUGAAAAAAAUCAUAUUACAACCUUUUUUAGUUGUAAGUUGUUUUCUCAUUUUUCUUUUAAAUGCAAAUAAUAUUGUUGAAAUGAAAUUCUCAAAUGUAAUUAUUUUGUAGUACAAGUUUCUUGGCAUUCUUGAAUCAAGAUUCACUCCUGAUACUGUUGAAGCAGAACUCUAUAGAAUUCAUUCAGAUCUUGAUUUCUCCAAAUGUGACAUGGUAUGUUCAUUCUAAUAAAAAAGUUGUUUUUUUACAUCUUUUUUGUGUUAUAAUUUUUGUUUUUCUUAAAACAAUUGCAGUUCUUCUUCCCAGCAUAUAUAAAUUAUGGUUGGUGUGUUCUAUGUGUUGAUGUAUUAUCGAAGAGUAUUAUUCUUUAUGAUCCAUCUGGAGAAAAUAAAGUAGAUCAAAAGAAUUCAAUCAUCAAUGAAAUGGUACUCUAUGAACUCCUAAUGAUGUUUAUUGUACUAUAGUUUCCUUUUUCAUAUUUUAUUCUAUAUUCAUUUCUAGGUUGCCAAAUUUGAACAUCAUUGUAAAGCUGCUGAUAUUCUUGAUGCACAAUUUACAACUUUCAAGAUUUUGCAUCCAGAACUGCCAAUAGCAUCUUCAAGAACGUAAGAAAGCUAACAAAUAUUUUGUAGUUUAAAAAAAUUUACAUUAUUAUUGUUUUCUAACAAUUUUAUGUCAGUCAUGAAACAGGAAUUUUUGUAAUGCUAUUUAUGGAGCUUUAUGAUGGAAAGCAAUUGAGGAAGAUAGAUCAUGUACAGUUUCAAACAUAUUAUAUUAUAUUUUUCAUGUAUUCAUAUACAUUUUCUCAUAUAACAGAUAGAACAUAUAACUAUUUUAUUAUGUUAUGUUUCUUCUUAAUCUGCAGACAAUUGCAUUACAAUAUAGAAAGUUGCUGGCUUACAGUGCUGUAACAUGUCCAUUCAAUGUUGUUGAUUGUUCAAGUUUCCUUAUCAAAACAGAUAGUGAUGGAAUUUAGAAGCUUAAUUUAUAUGAUCUCGUAAGUAAUUUUAUUUUGUUUCCUGGACCUCAACUUCGUAAGCUUAAUUUGUAUAUUUGAUGUUCUUUUUUUUUGUAAGUAAUUUUAACAAAUAUUUGGCUAUUCAAUAUAAUUUCUUUUGACCUUUUGAAUGUUUUGUAUAUUGCCAUGUUUCUGCUUUACUAAAUAUGCUGUAUUAUUAACUACAUAAAGUUCUGUACCUUAUUUCUAUUUGUUCUAUAUUUGAAAUUUCUAUUGUUCUGCUUUACAAAAAUUGAUGUUCUGAUGCUAUUAAGCUGUUGUCCAUUACCUUUUGAAUAUUGGAUCUUUUACUGAAUUUUGCUUUAAAUUUUCUGUAUUGAUUCUCUGAUUGUUUAUUUGCUAUUUCAGAAUUUGUCUUCAUAAAGAUUCAGCAGGAACUAUAUUCAUGAUGUCCAGAUUUGGCAAGCUUCGUAAUGAGAAGACACGUUCAUCUACUACAGCCUAAAUUAUUCAACUAUAGAUUUCUAAAAAAAUUUCAACAAUUGUAUGUCUCUUAAUAAGAAUGAUACGUGUAAUGAUAUUUUUCGCUAUGUUCCCUAUAUUUCAUCAUUUCUAGAUUUAUAAAAUGAGAUUUCACUAUGUUCCAAUCUUAAUACUGCGAUGUUCUACUCUUAAUAACGUGAUGUUCUGGCACUACAUACAUGAUGUUCUUCAUUUCCAAAUAUUUUUUACAUACGAAUAAAAUUAUUAUAUUUUCUACGUACAAAUAAAAUUAUUUGUUUUAUUUUAUUAAAUUAAUAUUUUAUUUGUUACAAUAAAUAUUUGAAUAAACCAUAAUAAAUGAAAUGAGUUGAAUUGGGCCCAUUUUCUCUAAGGCCCAAAAAAAAUAUUUUAGGAAAAACAUGCAUGCCCAAAUUGUUUUUUUCUAAAAAAACUGAGUAACUUUUAUUUAUUUUCGCGUCAAACUUUCAACCGGCACUCUUGUACUGGCAACUGCUACUUCGAUGAGAAACGUGGGUUCCUUUUCGUGUCGUAGUUGGUUAUAUAUAUCAGGCAAGCGCCACUUCGCGUAUCCCAUUUGCCAAGGCUACGGUUGUUGAAGUGACCUUCAUAUCGAUCAGUGGAUUUGUCCAUUCUUCUCUUUCUUUCUACUUCUUCUGAAAGUUGUAAGUAUUCUCCACGUGAUUUGCAUCUUUGUUUGUCUCAUGUUUUUUCUUAUAUUAGUCAUCUUUGAUUUGAAAAGUUUUAAUUUGGAUGAACAUCUACAUGCUAAAAGUACUACCACGUCCAAGAUUAGGUUGCAAAUUUGCAAUUCACAUCAAUCUUGCUUUUCUUUUAUGUAAUUUUUAACCCCAGUUCAUGUAUGGUUACGUUUAUAUUCAUCAAAGUUUAUUUUCUUUUCUUUUCAGUUUGUUUUUUCUGAGUUGCUACCAUAAUUUCGACGUUCCAGACCAUGACAAUGUGAACUUUUCUUGAUUAAAACAAAUCACUUCCAACAAAAUUUGUCUUUUUCUUGGUCCUUGUUCGUUCCAAUAGUUACAGAUUAAAAUUUACAUGGAGAAUUCCUCAUUCGGUUAUAGUUUUUGCUAAAACAUAAUAUCUUGCUCUUUAAUUAUCUUUUAUACUUAAAAAUAUCUUAUUCUUCAGAUUCACAUCCAGAACUGUUUCCAUUAUCUUGGAACCAAUUGAUUUUGUAAAUCACUAUUCUACUAGUAAAAAAGUUUUCUUUACUGUAACUUCAUGCGAUCAUUAUUAUUGAUGUAUUUUCUUUCUUUACAGAGAUCAUGGAUAACUAUGGAAAUGCUUGGGACAUGACUGUCUUUCGCUAUGUUUUCCGUGAACUCCGUGUUCGUCGUGGUCUACAAACAAGAGUUGUUGUCCUUUCAGUGCAUUCUAGCUUUUAUAGUAGCUGGUAUGUUGCUUCUGCAGUUGUUCAUCAAGUUCUUGGGCAUCGAAAUUACCGCCUGGCAGAAGAUCAUCUAGGGCCCUAUGUAUUUGUUUCUGUUCGUUCAAUCGGAGACGUUCAGACUCUGCUUUCGUACCACUACCGCUUCCCUAAUGCAGAAAUAUGGCCCCAUCGUAUCCGUUUUCUUACCCUACGUGCCAAUGAUCCAGAGAUUGGUGGAGUUGUUGCAAUUCCAUUCAACUGAAAAGAAGAAUCAUCAUCAGACAAACCUAUUAAUAAGGUGAUGUGAUUUUAAAGUACUAGUUGCUUAAUUAAUGUUCUUUUAUCAGUUUUCAAUGUUACAACUAUACUGUUCUAAAUUAUAAUAUUGUUCUUAUAAGCACGUUUGAUGUUCGCCACUAUUAUUUGUUAUGUUCCCCCUCUAUUUAUCCAUGUUCCCAAUGUUUUUUUUAAUAAUUCAUACUUUAAUUUCUUGAAACUAGAACAUUAAACAAAACAAUUGAAUACUUCAUAAUAAAAAAUUAUCUUUCUAAACAUAUGUUUCGUCCAUAACAAAUUUCCAGUAAAUACCAGUUUUAUAUGCAACAAAAAAAUUUAAAAUUAUAUCUUGAACCACAGUUUUAUUCUUCUAUGCCAUUCACUAUUAAUCUCAUGAUAAUGAGUUUUUUUAAAAAAAUUUCUUCAACUGCUCAUCUCAAUCUUUAUUCUUUUACUCAAAAUUGAGCAAAUGUAUUUGCCAUUUCGUUACUAUACUUAGUUUUAUAUUCUCAAAUUGAUAUUUCUUCCUUUUAUGACAGAAUGAUCUUACCAUGAGAAGAAUGAAGUUGUCAUUGCGGAAUCGUGGCUCCGAUCAUUCAUUUAUCCUGUAUUAGAUGUUUAUGUCCUUGAAGAAGAAUGAAGUUCUAAAUAGAAAUAGUUAGUUAUUUAAAUAUCUUUCUGUUGUCCAGUGUAAUUGUGAGCUACUUAACUGGUCCCAUCAUAUGGUUCUAUUGUAGAAUAUCUAUGUUCUGACUCAGUAUUACUCAUGUUCUAUAUUCGAAGAUUUGAAUUCUACGAAUUGUAAUGUUUUGUUUGUCAAAAAUGAGUUCUAUUUCUAUUUAUUUUAUAUUUCUUGUAGUCUUAUAAUAAAUGAAACAUUAUUUUUUACAUACAUUCAGCAACAAUAAUUACUAACAUAUACUUUUGCGACAACUCCCUGUAUCACAAUCUCAUGUUAUGAAAUUACAAUAGUUUAUUCUAAUUUCACUCUCGUUGUAUAUUACAAAUAGAUACUCAGAACAUCAUUCUACUCUCUUUAGAACAAUGUAUUUGACAAUAUUGCCCUUACGUUAUGUUGUUCCGAACCAUUCAUUUGUCCACACCUCCACUAUAUUAGUAUACUCGUAUACGGCGGCGGCUAGGGACGCGGCUGCGCUGCGAGCAGCCACCGGAUUCCGGCAACGGGAUUCCUUCUACUCCGGCUGCGGCUUUACCUAGAGAAAGGUUAGAUUGGCAUUUCACGCGGAUUCUAUGCACUAUUUCGUGUUUCUAUACCGAAAGAUUAUAUCCAUGAAUUUAGGGUUUCUUUGUCCGCUAUUCCCCUGAUUCGUUUUACGGACAACAAAUUUAUGGUUUGUCACAUAAAUCUGAAAAUUUAUACCCAUGAAUCGCUAUUCUUGAUCUCUAUUUUUUAAUUGGCCUUUUUCUCUAUUUUUGAUUUAUCUGUAAUGCAUAAGAAGCGCCCAGUUCAAUCCUAUAUCCUUUAGAUCUCGUUCACUUCUUCUGCAAUGAUCGUAAUAAAGAAUUAUCACGCGAAUCAUUACUCAAUCUACAUAAGUUUUUCUAGACUCAAUUAUGUAUCAUAAAUUCCAUGACCUCAAUUAUUUAUACUUGGACAUGAGCAGCUUAUCAUGUUGAUGUCUAAUUCAAUUUUUUUUUGUACAAUUUCUUAGAUAUGGAUAUGGAUAUUCAUACCAAUCAUGGUGGAGUCAUAAUUCAGAAUCAUUUCUCCUCAUAUGUACUCAAUGAUGUUGUUAAUUCUCUAAGCAACAUUCAGAAACAUUAUAUUGAGAAACAUGGAUUUGCAAGUUUCUUGAGAAUCAACUCUUUUGAUGUCCCUCUUGGCCUUGUUCAAUGGAUAAUUCAGCAUACACAUGUUCCCUCUUUUCAGUUCCAACAUAUGAAGAAAAAAAUUCAGAUUACCACAUCUAUGGUCAAUUAUAUUUGUUCAACUCAAUGGUUUUUGGUUGUUGUCAACUUUGUUCGCAAAUGUUUUGAUGUUCUUGAGCCAAAUAAAAACAUAAAAGCCUCAGCCAAUAAAGUUCAGAAUGUUAUCAGAAACUUCAGGAUAUUUUUUGAAUCCAAUUUCCCUGAGAAUAUCAUUUACAAGAUUUAUGAGUUUGAUGUCAACUAUUUGAACAUCCCCAAGUGCAACUUUAGGUAAUCAUUAUGUACUCCUUUUUAUAUGUGUAAUGAAUUACAUUUUCUUAAUUUGACUUUUUUUUUAAACUUCAAAUAUUUUGAGUAUUUUGAAUUAUCUUUGAUGCAACAAACUGUAACACAAAGUAUAACAUUAAUCUCUUGUUUAAUAUAGGUAUGACUCAGGAAUCUUUGUUCUCCAGUUUAUGCAGACUUACAAUGGUACAACAAUUCAAAAAUUCUCUAAUGUAAGCAUAAAGAUUAUAAUUUCAUGUGUUUGUUUGUUUCUUUUUCCUGAGAUGAUAUUUUCUAAUAUAUUUUCCAUUAUAGGUUGAUGUCGUACCUCUACGUGCAAAAUUUCUAUUCCAGCUGGUUACAACUCCGCACAACAAGGCAAAUUCAGAAUUCAUGAAAAAGUUCUAUGAGGAAAAUGUUAGUCAAUUUCCAAUUCAACUUUAAUUCAAUUGUCAUGUUUUAGGACUAUCUGCAAUAUAACCAUUACAAUUUCUUCUUAUACAGGAACAAUUUUUCAGUGAUUUAAUCACUUAAAAGUUUCAAGAUACCCCACAAUUUUUCAGCGACUGAACAAUGUACUAUGGAGUAUAUACAUGAGCGGCUAUGUUAAUGUGCGCAGAUGUUUAAGCUUACAGAGUUCUCUUCUGGUCUGUUUUUGUUACCUUUCGGAAAGAAAUUGUGGUCUGGACUUGUUUCUAAGUCUGUAGAUAUUUUACACUAAGCGAGUACCACAAUUCAACUUUUUGAUAACAUGUUUAGAGCUACUUGUCAGUAUUAUGCAUCCUUUGGCGUCAUUCUUGUUUAAAUGUUGAUGCCUCAGUAAUCUUUAAAAUUACACCUGAUUUGUGAGUUGUUUUUACCGAAUCGUCAUGUUCCCAAAUGUUUCAAUGAUGUACAACAAAAAAUAUAAUAAUCAUUUGUCUAAGAAACUUAUGAAGACAUAUUUUUACGAAGACAUUUGAAGUAGCAUAUAAUAUUCAUUUUCAUUUAAUAUCAUUUUCGAAAUAGAAAACAGUCCAGAAAACAGUCAAAAAAAAACAGUCAAAAAAACAGUUCAAAAAAACAGUUAAAAAAACAGUCCAACAAAUAGUCUAUAAGGUCCAUUAAACAUACGGCCCGCAGCGGAAUUCGAGUGUUGUACGCGAGAGCAUCGUGCGCCAUCAGCCGCAAAAUUCUGGCGCCAGCGCCAUAGGCGCGCAGACUAAUGACGCGGGAAAAUUUUGGGCGGGAAUCUGCCGGACGGGUGAUUGCGUCCGAACGGCCGGACCGCAAGAGCCCCCGUGGAUCCUUGGGGCUUGGGGGUUCGUGAUCCAUACUCAACGACCAUAUAUUCUAGUGGAUUGUGCGCGCCCUGGCGCGCAAGAGUAAGGGAUAUAUUUUUUUAUCAAUGUUGAAGCAAAUAGUUAUGUACGCUGGAAAUAUUAGAUACUGUAUUGAUAUUAUCUAACAGUCAGGAGGUUGGUUAUAGUCUGAUUUACAAAUUUACAGUAUUGAUAGUCUGGUAGAUAUGAAGAACAUGGAAGGGUAAUAUAUGGAAGGGUAAUCUAUCCCUCCCUAAUAUUUAAAGAUGAAAAUUUGAGUCUGCCGGACGUUCUAUCCGUUCCAUCCGACAUGUCCAUAUAGAUAUAUAUAAUAUCUCUGUCCGUAAACUACCCCGCACAGGAGUUUCAAUCCCAACAGAAACAGAGAACGAAUUUGAGUCCAGCACGAGAGUUUCAAUCCCAACAGAAAACAAAGAACGAAUAAUAAAAAUGAGAAAAGAAGAAAGUGUAGUGCAGAUGUACAAAGCGGAGGGCCGCCAUGACGAGCGACGGGAACCAGAGGUCCGGGCUUAGGAGGUCGCUGAGGUGGAGCUGGUGGUGGCGCGCCUAGCGCGAGAGCAUCCAUGCGGCGUAGAGGAGGGCGGAGACGGCGGUGAAGGCAUGGAGGAAGGCGAGCAGCUUGAGGAGGAAGCCGAGGCAGCACGCAGGCCAGCCCAUGCUCAGGCUCCGGCUCCGGCCACUUUCUCUGCUCCGGCGACGCACCAUCGGAUCUGAUGCGGCGACAUCGGUGUCGCUACAAACUCCCCUCGCCGCUGUUACCCUAGCAGAGCAGCAGUAGAUCUGGAUUUCUCGUGUCUUGUCUUCGUUUGGAAGUGCACCUGGACGGGAUUGGAGGAGUGGCUGGGCAACGCAACGCGGAUGAGAUGAUGGAAUCGGGCGGCUGCUCUGCCUCUACCUACGCUUUGUUGUUGCUCGUCCUGGUCGGAACUGGGUGCGUUGACUUGGCGUUCUGCUCGUUCGAUUCCGGCCCGGCCCAUAAAUAAUCGAGCCCAGCGAGGAUCGGUGCAAUCAUCCAUCCGUAAGUCUCGCUCCGUACCUGAAGCAUUAUAAAAAAAAAUAAAAAAAAUAUCCCUGAAAUCUAUAAUCUAUAUCUAUGCCUAAUACUAAAGAGGUAAAAUUUUAGCUAAUUUUUUGGUCUGGUAUUUUUUUAGUCUGGCCUCUCUUGCUAAUCAUACCAUGUUUAGCUUAUGUACUCAUCUCGGACUCCACUUGACAAAAAAAAACAAAAGAUUUUGUUACUAAAUUUUUGAUGCAGUAUUGAUUACAAAAAAAUUAUUUUCAUUAAAACCAAAUCAAUCAAUAGUAUAUGAACUAAAUCUUGAUCAGUUUAUUGUAGUUUGUUGUCUAAUCCAGUCUAAAUAAAUGUAUUUCUGGAAUCAUCGAUGAUGACUGCCAUGUAAAAAAACAAGAGAGGUCUCUUGUCAUAAUCAUCAUCGCACAAACUAAUUCUUGAAACGUCGGCAAAUAACUCCUUGCAUACUAUAAUUAAACAUUUUAUGGGUCCUAAAAAAGUCACAGAGCUCAAUUGAUUUAGACACGUCGGCAAAUAGUCUAAUUUUUUGUGUCUUGGAACAUGACACCAAAAGAAUCACUCAAGGUUAUAUUUUAAUUUGAUACAAAUUUAAUAAAAUAUUUUUAUAUUAAUGACAACAUAAGUUAUAUUGUGGAUAUCAUAGUCAUUGUAAAAAUAAAUUAUAAAUAAGUUCUAUACAAAGGAUAAAUUAUAAAUAGAAAUUAUAUCAUUAUCAUGGUCCCUUCUCAUUAAGGUUUGAAAGUUUAAUUUUUCUCCCGUUGCAACGUACGGACAUGUUUUGCUAGUAUGAUACAAAAGUGUGAUAGUCUGGUAGAUAUGAAGAGCAUGGAAAUAUAAUAUGGUACAAAAGUAUUUCACGGUAGUGAGUUAAAAUAUCACAUAGUACAAGGUGAAGUCCCUAUCAGCUGGUUGAAAGCGUGGUGUCCAUCCUGGUUUGCCCUUUAGACAUCGUAUGUAUGUAUGUAUGAGCUUUAUUUUCUUUCCUUGCUUAGCCCGAGAUGGGAACUUGUUGUUCUCGUAACUCUGUUUCUGAGGCAAAAUUGUUUGAUUUUGCAAGCAAAAAAUUCAUAAAAUUGCACACAUAAAUGUUAGCAUAUGGGUUGCAUCAACUAACGGACACAAACGGUACGUAAAUCAAGUUUCGCAUAAGAGGCAUCACACAAUAACUUAACAUAAAUAAUAAAGAAAGCAAAGUGUCAUCAUAGUGGUGAGCGCGCAAAUCACCGUAGACUAAGCAGCAGUGGCACGAAGGUAGCGACACGCAGAAAGGAACGAAAAAUUACUCCAUCAGCAUCUGAGCAAAGCAAAGCAGAGGAAAUAGCUUUAAUCUCUACAAAUCGUGAAGGUAAAAUCUACAAUAUUUGUAAUAAAGCCACGAAACUACCAUAUCUACUUGGAAAACAAAUAUACCUAUAACGAAGCACAAAAUAUGUCAAGAAUAUACGAAAGUUGCUAAACAUAGCGUAGUCAAUGUUUAAGGAAACUGUAGCCCGUUGCCUAAAACAAUUCAUUAAAGAUAUAAUAACAUAAAUAAUGUAGUCUCCUCAAACAACAAGGAACGCAACCAGAUCUGCGGCCGACUAAGAAGCCAAUAUACAGUUUGCGCAGCCAAACACCAGUAAAUACGAGAAGGAUCAGCAAACCCUAGACAGAUCAUAAACAACCAAUGCAAUAGGAAUGGAAAUAGGAAGAGAACAUACAAACCAAGAAGCACAGUCGAUGAGAGGAGGCGACAGAGACGAGGAACAUAGCAGCACAGUACUGGCGGUGGAAACAGAGUGGCAAAUGACACAGAAGCACAUAGACAGGGCCCAGGGCCGUCUUAGAGGGGAGGACAACAGGUGCGACGGCCGGGGGCCCAUGAAUAUAUAUCUAUAUAUAUAAUACUUAUAAUAUAUAUUUGGAAUACUGAAAUGGAACUUUACAUGUUCAUACACUUAGCACAAGUCUUGAAAAUAAGAAAUUAGCUUGUCAUGACUUCCUAUUCAGAUAUUUAGCUAUUCAUGAUCGCCGAUCAAUCCUGAUCAAUUGACCAUUUUCACCUUCCAAUUGCCAAAUACGGUGAUAUCGCUUUGUGCGGCGAGACAUUGUGAAGCCACGACACGCGACACCACUCAUUCACACACGAUGAGAGACAGGCCUAGCAUCUCCAAGAGUUUGGUAAAAUUAACUUUCUAAAUCUUCAGUUUUAGCAAGUUGCUAAUUGAUUUGGCAAGUGAAAAAAAGUGUUCUCUCCAACAGUUUUGUAUUCUAACUUGGUAAAAUUUAUAAAAAUAGCACCUGGUCGGCAGCAGCACCUGGUCAGCACCAGCUUGACGCAUUGAUUUGCCGUCCACCACCAACACCACCAACAGCAGCAGCACUUGGACACAACAGAAUCCCAACAGGAUCAUGCACGUUGCCAUAAACAGGAACAUGCACAUAGUGCAAAAAAAAACCCAACACGCUGGAUAAUUCUCAUUCAUAAACUCAAGCAGCCAAACCCUAGGUUGGGCAAGAUGCUCGGUGGCCUGUACGGCGACCUCCCGCCGGCGACGAAGACAAGGCCUCCACGGCCUCCGUUUGGUCCAGCGCCACCAAGAUGGCGCCUCCCACCCUCCGCAAGCCGUCCACCACCUUCGCCCCACCCCCAUCUAUUCUCCGGAACCAGCACCUGCGCCCGCCCAAAGCCACCUCCACCUCCGCCCCCGCUCCUCCCGUCGUUGCCGCCGAACCCGCCCCGGCCACCUCCUUCCAGCCUGCGUUCGUCGCCGUCCAGUCCACCGUGCUGGAGGAGUACGACCCUGCCCGGCCCAACAACUACGAGGGCUACCGUAAGGACAAGCUCCGGCGAGAACGUACCUGAAAAGACGACGGCGAGGGAGAGAUCAGAGGAGACGACGCCGAUGGGAAGAGGAGACGAGACGUCGAAGGAAGAGAAUACGAGGCGAGAAUACGACGUGGAUCGCGAUUCGCAGUCGAAGCCGCGCGCGGAUAUAUCCGCGUGCGAGACCUAGCAAGUUGGGAAAUAUAGCAAGUGUAUUUGAGGAACUGUCGGAGAAGAAUUUUUAUGGAUUUGUCAAAUUUAUAAAGAUAGCAAGUUAUUUGAGGAGUUGUUGGAGAUGCCCUCAAACCUAUGUUGCAAGUUAAUUUUUAUUAUUAGUGCUUAUGUUUUAAUCGCCGUAUUAAAAAAUUACAUUUUACUAUCUUACUUGCUCAAGGGUCUUUAAAAUUAUUGAGACGGCUCUGACAGGGCCGGCAAGAUUAAUAGGAACGAGGCACGGACUGCAGGCCACAGCACGGCGGAGAAAAGAGCGGAUGAAGCAAGGGCGGCGUACGGCACAACAGAAGACGCCGCUAGGGAAGGAGCACCGGCACACGCUGAGCAGGCCGCGCUCGUAGGCAGCGAACCACAACAGGAACAACACGGGACUUGAGAGAACGAAGGCAGCGACGCAAUGAGGGAAGAUGGUGGAGCAGGCGCCGCAGCGGAAAGGAAGCGGAUGACUCCGAGAGAGAUGAGAAAGGAAGGAGAAAGUAAGCGGUGGCAGUUUUUUUUGUUUUGGUACUUUCUUUGACCACCGAGAUGCUGGAAGGAUAUAGAAGAGGCCCUUUCUUUUUUUCCCUUAUUAUUAUCCGGAGCAGAGUACACAGCGGGCAACACAAAAUAUAAGAAAAGUAAUACGCACAGGAUGCAAGUGGACACGUGUGCCAAUCAAACAUUUCUGGUGACGUGUCCCAUCUACUUUGCGCCCUUCAACCUGGCCAAUCUUCUAGUUCAGCGUGAUUCCACACUGAGAUUGAGAGCAAAGCAUUCCAGUCGGUCAUCUCAUGGGCGCGGUGGGCCUUUACAAAAUGCUGCUGGGCGAUAAAUUAUAAAAUCAAAAAUCAAAUUUUUGUUGAACUUUAAAUAUAGUUUGUAUGGUCUAGUUAUGAUGAAAAUUUUAUGAUAGGCUAAUUAUUGUAUGAUUAAACUGUAAUAAUUUUUUUUACUUAUUGUAUCAUGUAUAGGUAUAGCUUAGUUAUUGAUUUAUUCUUAUUUAAUAAGCAUAAACCUAAAUAAAAUAUAUAACUAAGUUAUAUAUGAUAGUAUAAAAUUUUUAUUAUAGUUUAAGCAUGUACUACCUCCAGGCAGGUUUCAUACCAGGACGAGAUAAAGGGAGUCACGGGAGGUGGGGUACCGCCAUUAAGAGGGAGAUAAAGGGAGGCAUGGGCGAGAUGCAAGAUGUCGCUGUCGAGAGGAAGACAUGCCGAAGAGAUACGUCGGGACUUGGGAGGGAGUGAAAUUAGAAAUAGAAGUUUGGUUAUCAUAUUUAUAUAUGGGUUGUGACUGAAGCCAAUGGCUGUGGUUUAUUUGAUGACAUCAAGUGGCUAAAAUGUAUCAGGCCACAUCGUAUUGGCCCAUUAACCGUGUCGUACCUACGGGCCGACAUAGAGACCCAAGCACCACACUACGUUUGGGCCGUGUUCCUAGAAAAAAAAAAUCACCUUGGUCAUUGUCCGAAAGCAAUUAGCAGUGCUGAUUGCAGCAGCUGCGGCAGCACUACCAAGCAGGCCUAUUAAUGUUUUUUCUUCUGAUAACAUUAAUAAAAAAAUAUAAUUAGUACAACCUAGUCAGCUAGGCCACCAAUCGUUAUGAUUUGUUAUUAUAAUGAAGAAAUAUAGAGCUAGAGAUACAGCCAGCAACAAGGGGUCUAAGAAGACCAGUAAGCCUCUAGACUGAGGCUGACUCUAUGCCCCAUUUGUUUCCCCUUAAAAUCGAAUUCUAAAAUAAAUAGAAAAUCUCACAAAACAUUAUUCUACUGACUGUUGUUUAAGAAAUUUAAACUAGCAAGAUUGAGAAUCAUAAAACCCCCCGCGAUAUACAACGAUUAAAAUAUGAUAUGAGCGGAGGAUAGAGAGAGAAUCAAAGGCAGAUGUGGUCGUGGAAGAGCAGUAGAGGAUUUGACCAUUGCCGCCGCCUUCUGUUCAGACAGCCAAAACUGGCCAUGGCCCAUAGCCCAUAGGUCAAUACCAUGGCACACAUCUACACCGUUGGGCUUUUCUCAAAAAAAAGCAAUCUACAGAGUUGGGCUACCUGAUAUAUGGGCUGUGGGCUGUGCCAACUUCACGGUGGCUUUUGAGUUUUGACAUGGAGAUGGACUACAUCUUCUUCUUAAAAAUAAAGAUGGACUUAGAAGGAGCAGGAGCA
RNAcentral lists this long non-coding RNA (68129 nucleotides) under Sorghum bicolor (sorghum). RNAcentral describes it as "long non-coding RNA (SBIC_LNC004344)". Lineage: Eukaryota; Viridiplantae; Streptophyta; Magnoliopsida; Poales; Poaceae. The record is from RNAcentral.